GUAUAUUGCCAGACAGAUUGUUUCGUGCAAGGUCUAAAACCUGAAGAUGACUCAUCUGGCAUAUUUCAUUUGGAAUGUGGCCGGCAAAAUUGUUUGAUCGAAGGCGAAGGAUUUUCACAUUUAAGAGGUUUUCUCUAACCCAUGUUGGAAUAGUUCCUGAAAGAUUAUUUUCCCCAAGGUCCAAGGAUAUCAAUUGGUUAUUCUUCUUCAAACUGGUUGGAAAUAUUCCUGAGAGUGUGUUGUUACGAAUUUGUAAAGACUGCAGGUCCAAGGAACCCAUGGAUUGGGGUAAGUUCCCAACAAAAUGGUUGCUUUGUAAAUUUACAUCCACAAGAGAUGUCCAAUUCAUCCAGCAAUCAGGUAUCUCUCCUGACAAAUUAUUUGAUGCAAGAUUCAGAAAUUCUAAUUGCAUUGGCUCGUCCUGAUCGUUACAUAAAAAGUCAUUCAUGGAUUCAGAGAAUGAAUUGCUUGAAAGAUCUAACUGAAGCACAUCACUUGAAAGAUAGGGUAAUUUACCAAACAAGUGAUUUGAGCUUAGAUCAAUAGUUGGGACAGAUAUUGGAUUCUUUAAUGUAGUCCCAAUCUCACCAUGGAUAUGAUUACGAGAGAGGCUUAAAUACAAAACCUGAGAAAGUGCUUCCCACAUCUGUGUGGGAAUAGAAUCGAAAAUCCCCGUGUUAGAUAGUCCAACAUAUUGAAGUUGGUUUUGUGACUGAAUCCACAAUGGAAAGCUGGGACCUAACUGCCAUGAUGUCACUUCCAAAUAGGUAAGUUGAAAAUUAGGAAUCCAAUUGGGACCCACUUUUAAAGUUAAAUUGUUCCCCGAUGCGACAAACUCCGUCAAGCUUGUAAGAUUUGCAAGAUCAUCUUCCUUGACAACUCCGUGAAAAAGAUUGCCGUCAAUAUGAAGAGAUAACAAUUUAGAGAGUGAUCCAAGACUUUCAAAUGGAUUUCCACUGAAUUUAUUCAUAGAGAGAUCGAGAUAUCUUAAUGAUGAAAGUUUUCCAAAUGAUCUAGGAAGAGCAUCACCAAUUGAGUUGUUGGAAAAAAGUAACGUGUCAAUAUUUUUAAAUGCCCCAAUAUGAUCUGUCAGAUUGCCUGAAAGUCGUGAACUCUGAACUGCAAGUGUUGUGAGUCCAUGGGAAAUACAAGGAGCAAGAAUUUCUAAAAGUUCAUUAACCUGUUGGUUGAGUUUGAGAUAUGAUAAAUCUAUCACCCUUAAGUUGCAGAGAUUACCCAAAGAAGUUGGAAUGUUUCCUUCAAGUUGACUAUAUGACAAAUGAAGUUCAACAAGAGAAGUCAAAUUACCCAAAGAAGUUGGAAUGUUUCCUUCAAGUUGAUUACCUGAUAAAUCAAGUUCAACAAGAGAAGUCAAAAGAGAAGUCAAAUUACCCAAAGAAGUUGGAAUGUUUCCUUCAAGUUGAUUACCUGAUAAAUCAAGUUCAACAAGAGAAGUCAAAUUUCCCAAGGCAUCAGAAAUAGUCCCAUGCAAGUUGCUGGAACUUAGGUCCAAAGACGUGAGACGAUGAAGACCGUAUAAGCAAUCAGGUAUAGAAGAUGAGAAUGAAUUGAAAGAAAUGGCAGGGGAAUAACUAGUAACGGAAAGAUGGAGAGUUUGCAGAGAUGAGAAGUUGAGCAAGGAUGGUUCAUUAUAGUGAGGGAGUGUGCAGUAUGACAAAUAUAGGUGGGUCAAAGAAGGAAGAGAUUGGAGAGUGUGUAGCCAAUGAAAUGCUUUGGAUAGGUUUGCAUAACUCAAAUGAAGAUAUUCAAGCUUCCACAUAUUUGAUACCCAUUCUACAUUUUCAGCAUGAUAAUCACCUCCAAGUCCAAGAUACACCAAAUUGGAGAGAUUCCCAAUCUGAGAUGGAAUCUUCCCCAUCACUCCAGUAAGAGAGAGGUCGAGGUGAGUCAAGGAGGUCAUUGCACAAAGGAAAGAAGGAAUUGCCAUACCUUCAAAAUAAUUGGCGCUCAAGUCAAGAUAUCGAAGCUUAGAGAGAUUCCCGAUCUGAGAGGGUACUGUUCCGUUGGCAAAAACAGAACUCAGGUCAAGAUACACCAAAUUUGAGAGAUUCCCAAUCUGAGGAGGAAUCUUCCCACGGAAUCCAGUAUGAGAGAGGUUGAGGUGAGUCAAGGAAGUCAUUGUCCCAAGGAAAGAAGGAAUUGACAUACCUGCUCCAAGAAAUCUAUUGCCGCUCAAGUCCAAGUAAUUCAAAUGCUUUAAAUCAGCCAAACAAGGACUUAUCUCUCCACCAAACUGGGAUCUCUCAUAAGCUUCCUCAUCGUAGAAAGCAGAAUCAUAGUAGUCAUAAUAGAAAGCAUCAGAAAGUGAAGAGUUGAGGUGAAGCUGAAGAACAUGGGAAGUGACGUUGUGGCAGAGGACUCCAUACCAGUGGCAACAGUUGGUAUGAUUAUGAUUCCAAGACCAAAGCCUAUUUGAAGGAUCAUUCAGAUUAUUCUUAAUCUUCAAAAGUGUCUCACGCUCACUUGGGAUGCACACACUCUCUCUGCAUGGUAAGCUACAUAACCAAAGGUGGAGAAAGACAAGAAUAUAAAUGGAGGAGGAAUUCAUGAUCAUGCAAGUGUUGCUUCUGCAUAUUAAUCAUCAAACUUCUAUUAUUUAUACUGCUGCCCUGCCUGUUUUUUUUCUUCACUUUCAUUGUUUUUUUUACCUUUUUUUAUUAUUGUGCCUAAUACUAAAUUAUCGACUUAAUUAUCCAAUUUUCUCGAAUUAAUUCUUAGAAUACGAAAAUUUUUGUAUUUACUGUAUCAAUCUCCCUUUUUAAAAUUCCUAUAUACACUACAUUCAUAAAAAAAAUCAAAAUUAAUAACAAAGAAAUAUGAUUUAUUCUUGUGCUGAAUACUAACAUAAGAAACAUUCUUUUUGGUACAGUUUUUUUUUUUUUUUUACAAAAAUAAGUAAGAAUCAUUUUAUUUUAAUUUACCCUAUAAUACUGCUUAAAUGAAAAUCUGGUGUCAUUAAAAUUCAAAUUUUAACUUUUAUUUAAUCAAUCCUUUCGUUAAACUUUUGUUACAUACAAAAGUCCAAUAUUUUUUUAAGGAAAAAUCAAGUCUUCUAUUUCAUCAAAUCCCAACCCAUGAUUAAUAUUAAAUCAAGUCUUCUAUUUCAAGCCAUGAUGUUAAGGUCUGACUUCUUCAACUUGAACCAUAGGUCACUGCAUUACCUUCAUAUCAAACAAAUGUUGCGAGUUAAGUCAAGCAAGGAAAAAAAAUAUAAUUGAUGAAUAAAUCAAUUAUAGGAAAAGAGUUUACUUUAAAGACAAUUUUGGUUAAAAAAAUCUAUAAAAAAAAUUAUUUCGUUCCAAGCUAGCUAUUUAAUUUUGAUCAAUUUUUCAACUCACAAAAUAAUAUUCUUCUUAUAUGUGAAAAAGACUAAUUAAUCUUCAUUGUCAUUAAUGAUUGUUGUGUUGUCUAUUUCUAAUUGUUUUUUUAAUCAUAAUAUUAUUUUCUUUUUUAUUAAAAAUUAAUUAGUGAGAUACAAAGAAGUUUAAAUUGCUUGUUUAGCUUGGUCUAUCAUAAUUAUUGAGAUCAUAGUUUUUCCUUUUAUAAGUCUUGUUCCAAAUUUCUCCAUGUAUUGUAGAUCAUAUUUAACUUAAAAAGUAAAUUAGAAGAUCUACAAAGAAGUGUGGCAUGUUUUUUAAAUUAUAAAAUUAUGGUCCUAGCUAUUUAUUGUUAGACCACAAGUCUUCAUAUAUUAAAGUUUUUGUCUAAAUUUCAUUUAUGGUGAUAGUUUAAGAAUAGUGAUAGAAGAGAAAAAUAAAUAUACAGUUUAUUGAAAUAUCUAACUCAAUUAAUUGAUGAAUACAUCAAUUAUAGAAAAAGGGUGUACUUUAAAGACUAUUUCUAUUAAAAUAUCUAUAAAAAAAUUAUUUCGUUCCAAUAUAAUUAUUUAAUUUUAAUCAAUUUUUCAGUUCACAAAAUAAUAUUCUCUUAUAUAGGAAAAAAAUACUAAAUUUAAUUAUCAUCAAUUGGAAAAGUUAUUGUGUCAUGUAUUUUUAAUUGUAUUCGAACUUGAAUAUUAUUUUAUUUAUCAUAUAAAAAUUAAUUAGUUAUAUAAAAGAAGUAAAAAGAAUAUUAACUUUUUUUCUCAAAAAAAAAAUCAGUAUCAUAUUUUAUGUUUUUUACAAGUUAUCAACUUAAAUAAGAGGAGAAACAUAAUUUUAAUUUCCAUUUUACUUUUUAAAUAAUUGCAAGUGCCAAAUUUAAAUAAUCAUGAGAAUACUCAUGUUUAAUAUAAUAUUCUAAAAAAAAAAUCCAUACGAUAACUUAAACAAUCUACAAACAAAUAUAAUUUAUUCUUGUGCUAAAUACUAAAACAAGAAACAUUUUUUUAUUGUAGUUUACUGUAUAGAAUUGCUUAAAUCAAUGAAAUUUUUAUUUUAAGAAAAUAUUAAUGAUUUUUUUAAAACUUUAAGUAGUUUACAUCAAAGAUAAUUAAAUUUGACUUAAUUAGUCUUCAAAUUUUAACUAUUAUUCAAAUCAAACCUUUCGUUAAGUAAACAACAAAAAGUCUUGCCUUAUAAAAUUCAAAUAUUCUAUUACAUGCGGUUUGAACCCAUAAUUAAUUUUAAACUAUCAAAUUUUAAUUAUUCGAAAUAAAAGAAAUGAAAACAAAAUUGUCUACUAGAGAAACCGCUGGCCACUCCACCAAAUCCAUAUCAAGGUCCCCACUUUUCCAACUUGAACCAUAAACUACUCCAUCAAGUCCAUGUGAAGGUCCUCCAAUUUUUCAUCUUGAACCUUAGGACACUCCACAAAGUCCAGCCAUAUUAAGGUCUCUGACUUCUUCACCUUGAUCCAUAUCCCAUAGGCCACUCCAUCAAUUUCAUGACAAUGUCCCCCCACUUCUUCAACUUGAACCAUAGGUCACUACAUUACCUUCAUAUCAAGUUCUUUAUAAUUGACAACAAAUGUUUAGAAUUAAGUAAGGAAGGAAAAAAUUAUAAAUGAUGAAUACAUCAAUUAUAGGAAAAGAAUCUAAUUUAGAGACUAUUUAGAUUAAAAAAUCUAUAUAAAAAAAGAUUAUUUUGUUCAAAUUUAGUUAUUUAAUUUUGAUUUAUUUUUUAAUUCAUAAAAUAAUAUUCUUCUUAUAUGUAAAAAAAGACUAAUUUUCAUUGUUAUUAAUUGGAAAGAUUGUUGUGUCGUUUAUUUCUAAUCGUAUUUUAACCUGAAUAUUAUUUUAUUUUCCAUUAAAAGUUAAUUAGUGAGAUAUAAAGAAGUGUAAAUUGCUUGUUUAACUUGGUCUAUCAUAAUUAUUGAGAUCAUAGUUUUUUCUUUAAUAAGUCUUGGUCCAAAUUUCUCCAUGUAUUAAAAAGUAAAUUAGAAGAUCUACAAAUUAAGAAGUGUGACAUGUUUUUUAAAUUAUAAAAUUAUGGCCCUAGCUAUUUAUUGUUAGACCACAAGUCUUCAUAUAUUAAAGUUUUUGUCUAAAUUUCAUUUACUUAUGUGGUGAUAGUUUAAGAAUAGUGAUAGAAGAGAAAAAUAAAUAUACAAUUUAUUGAAAUAUUUAACUCCCGUGUGCGAAUUAGUCAAACUCCCUUGUCACUAGGUCCAUCUUGUGAUUAAAAAUAUAAUCAAACAAUUCAAUAAAACACAAGUCUAAUUGUCGCUAUUGUAAUUCAAAUAUUGCAUUAUAUUUUUUAUGUUAAUAAAUUUUUUAAAAAAGAUUGGUGUUUUUAGUAGAAUGAAAGUAAUUAAUAGAUUGAUUUCAAUGCAUUAAUUGAAUUCUGAUUUGACUUUUAAUUAAAAAACUGCAUAUAAAUGUUUUUAAAACUAUUGUGUGGUUUCCCUGGAAAAUAUUUGAAUUUGAAAAGAUUUUUUUUAUGAAAUUAAAAUUAAAGAUCAAAAAUAUAAAAGUUUAAAACUAUUGUGCGAUUUUGGUCUAUUGUCAGUUCCAAUUGGGAGAAUUGGAUUGGAUCCACUAGGCAUUGCAAUUUCAAUCCCUCCAUCCAUCUUACUUUGAAUAUUUAACAGAUAUUUACUGGCAUGACACUAGAUGAAAGGUAGAUAAUAUGACAACUAUCAUGUUGCCUAACACAUACUGAACUAAACUUUUGAUCCCUUAGAAUAUUGCAGUUAUAAGGAAGCAGAAGUGAAUAAGCCACAUCUAAGGGACCAAAUUAAACUUACAAAAUUAUAAUACCUAAUUUACGUAAUGCAUGGAGAUCAAAAGUGAAAUGAAACUAAAUAUAAAUUAUGAGAGCAUUCUAAAUCUGUCUUCAUUGUCUGAGGAGCAAAAGGACCUGACAAGUGUUUUGUAUUUUUUUUUUGUACAUGCAUAUAUAGUGUAUAUGCUAUUCUUUUUUUCUAUUUUUUCCCCCUACAUUUAUGAUCUCGGAACUGAAACAGUGAGAGAAACCGAUGUGAAAAUAGAUAGGGUGGAUGAAGAACUAGACAUCGGCCAGUGGAAGAAAAUGAACAGAUGGAAAACCAUCUUUUUGGGUAUUUCCCUAUUUCUUUUAUAAAGAUACCAGCUCCUCUCUCUCUAAUAGACACACUGGUGAUACAGGUGUGAUGGAAACCCUAUAUCUGAUAGCUUGAAACUUUAUUUUGUAUGCGGGAAUUCAAUACAACUAGUGACCCUUGUAUAAAACGAUAGGAACUAAUAUGAAUAAAAAAAUAAUAUUUCAUGAUUUUUAAAAUUUAAUCAAUCAUGAUUUGUCAAAUGAACUUGUUAAUGAGUAUUAUAGAAUAAGUGCAUCAAUACUCAGGAAAUGGGAAUGUGGAAUGUAUCAGAGUAAGGAACAGCGAGAGGGAAGAUGUGGAAGAGCUUAGAAACUGCAGAAUCCUAUGCAAGCUCCAACUUUCUACACUAAUUAAAUUCAUUCAGGCAAAUUCUUAGUUACAUGUUGUGUAAAACAAUCUUCUUAAAUCCAAUCACCGAGUGUGUCAUUUCAGUUAUUUUAAUGCUAAUCAUUGUUAGUGCACAGAUAGUAGAAGACAAUAAUGCGUCAUAAAUACAAAACAGAAUUUGAUACUCAAGUCUCAAGCUCGUCUAGUUCUCUUAACAUUAAGAACAUUUAAUACCAAUGAAAGCAAAACAGACAGAACACCACAGAUGAACAGGUACAUAGUAUGGUAAACCUUUUCACAUUUUUAAUGGCUAGACUAACACGUUGUAAUGUCUCACUUCUUAACAGUUAACAGGUAAACUCAUAAUUUCCCAAGUAACCUUCUUACCUUCAAAACUAUCAUCACAUAAAUCAGAUCUCUCAAGUGGUCAAGAUAAUGAAAAUAAGCAAGCCUCCAAGUUCUGUUGAAGAAAACAACACUGCAAAAACCCCAAAAUCCUGCUGCAAAUCCAACUCCCAUACCGAUAUAAAACUCUGAUGUUCCAAAGAAAUUACCAUCACCGUGUCCAACAGAAGCACUCUCCCUCAACCAUUCCUUGUUUGUGCAAUUUUUUGUUACAGGAGGACCACAAAGCUCAGGAUUUCCAGUGUAGCUAAGUUCAUCAAAGCUCUGAAGUUGGGUGCUCGUGGGAAUUCUGCCUGAUAAGUUGUGGUAUGAUAGAUUCAGGAAACUGAGGAAGGACAAAUCAGAUAAGCUUUGAGGGAUUUGACCUGAAAUGUUGUUUAGCGAGAGAUCAAGGGAUUCUAACAAUUUCAUUUUUCCCAUGUCAUUUGGUAUCUCUCCAGACAGAUGAUUUCUAGACAAGUUCAAAAACCGCAAAGCAAAUAGCUUGGAAAUUUCAGAUGGAAUUGCUCCAGACAGCUUAUUACUUGAAAGAUCAAUCAUUCUCACCAAUAUCAGAUUGUCUCUGUACUCUAACUCAUCUUUUUUGGGAACUAAGACAAGAGUUUCCUUGUAGUGGUUAUAACUGAAGUCAGAGCCAUAUGAAUAACUUGAAGGGUUUGCAAAGAAGUCAUCUUCACCAGCCAUUGUUUUCAUGUCAUCCAAACAAUUUGGAAUGGAUCCUGACAGGCUGUUAUUGCCAAGAUCCAGCACUAUAAGGGAAGAAAGUUGACACAUCUUUUGAGCAAUGCUGCCAUUGAAAUUGUUGGAUCUUAGACGAAGAACCAUUAGAUAUUGCAUUUCCCACAUCCAAUCUGGUAUUGUGUCAGAAAGUUGGUUAUUUCCCAUGUCUAUGAAUUUCAUUGUAGAGCAAUUUUGCAGUGUUGAAGGAAUAUAUCCUGAGAAGCGGUUGUCGUCUAACAGCAAAGACUCAAGUUGAGACAGAUACCCCAUGGAGUUUGGAAUUUCACCAGACAAAUUGUUACUGCCCAAGUUCACAUGCACCAAAGCUUGCCAAUGCACCCAACAGUGACCAAGAUCACCAGACAAGACAUUAUUUGAAAAAUCAAGCACACUUAACUUAUUAGUAGCAUUUGGAUUUCCACAUAAAAAGGGAGAAAUUGUUCCGGAAAUUGAGUUAUUGGCAACAUUCAGCACUUCAACAUUUGCAGACACACUUGGCAAUCUACCCUUGAACAAAUUAGAACUCAAAUUUAUCACGCUGGAAUUUAGAAAGAUGUUAGAUAGGUCUCCCCUUAACAGAUUGUUUGACAGAUCCAGGAAUUCAAUUUGCAAAGUCCAAAUCCAAAACCAACUUGGAACCAAGUCUGCAAUACCUGCCUUAGACAUUGUCAAAACCUUCACAGAACUUUGCCUUUUUAGCCAUUCUGGAAACUUAGGACCUAUUCCAAAGGAGCUCAGUAAAACAUAUUCAAGCUGAAAAGGAGGAGCCCAUCCAGAGUUGACACUGAGGAACAAGUUUGUCCAAGACAAACGUAGUUCCUUUAAUGUAAAAAGUUUUACAAAAUUUGACUCUUUUAUAGAUCCUUCUAACAAAUUAGAUGAAAGGUCUAACGUCACUAAAUUUGAGAGUGUUCCAAGAGUUACAGGCACAUCACCAGUCAAAGAAUUAGCUCCAAGAUUUAAUACCUGCAGGUUUUUGAGGAACUCAAAACUCUUAGGAAUGGUUCCAUUCAGUCAGUUGUGAGCAAGGUUUAAAGUUCUCAAGGAUGACAAGUUUGCAAAUGGUGAGGGAAUUGGACAAGUAAAGGUAUUAUUACUGAGAUCUAGAACUUCAAGAUGCUUAAGCUGGCCUAAUGAAUCUGGAAGUGGCCCACUGAGUUGAUUGUUCUGCAGGUCUAGAUUUUUUAUGUUCUGUAGGCUUGAUAUUAUUUGUGGAAUUUCACCCUGUAAAAGGUUACUGUGUAAAUCAAGUUGGACAAGAGUUUUGCUGAGAUUAAAUAGCCAUGAAGGGAUUUGCUGAUUGAGAUUGUUAUUUGAAAGAGCAAGGACUUGGAGAUGUGUGAAGUUGGUUUUUCCUUUUGGUGGUCCUAAGUUAUCAAUUUGACAGCUCUCCAAGUGUAGUUCUGAAAGAGAUGGAAGUGCACUCAGUACUUGAAGCCAGUUACCUUGUUUAUGAAGGUCUGAACCACUCAAAUCAAGGUACUCCAAGGAAGAUAGCCUUGAUAUCCAAUUAAGGUUAUCUAUCUGAAGAGCAUAAUUGUAUCCAAGAUUAAGGUGCUGCAGGUUUGAGAGGUUUCCUAGUUGAUGAGGGAUUAAUCCCAUGAACCCACUUAAGCUAAGGUCCAAGUAUCUCAGACUCUCCAAUGAGCCUAGGAAGCUUGGUAUUGGAGUAAGAACAAAAUAAUUUGAACUCAAGUCCAAAUGAUUCAAAUAUUUUAGUCCAAGCAAAGAAGGACUAAUCUCUCCAAUCAACUCCCUAUAGGGAGAGCCCACAGGUGUGUCCAGAUUGAUUUCCAUGACUUGACCAGUGUUGUUGCAGGGAACCCCUGGCCAUGUACAGCAAUCCGAUUUGUCAGACCAUGAUGAAAGCCUGUUUGAAGGGUCUGCUAGUCCAUGCUUCAAGCUGUGGAGUGCAUUCCUUUCCUUCUCACUGCAAGUCAUAUUGAGCCUUGCUGCCUUGCUUGCACUGAAGUGGAGAGUUGUUGCAGUGGACAAUAUCAAGAGAAGAACAUGAGUUGCAAAUAGCACUGCCAUGAAGAAGAAGGAAGACGAAAAAGGUUGAAUCCACAAUUUUCUGGUUCACGGUUGGUAUUUACUACUAACAAUGCCUAUGUAUGAUAUAUACCGUAGAAGGGUUAGCAUUUAAAAUUUUACUCCACUAAUGGUGGUGGUUGCAAAAUGCACACAUAUGUAGAGGUAUAUAUGUCAACAACGAGACAUUUAGGAUUAAAAGUGUCUAACCACACCACCAUUAUUUUGCACUAGUUUAUUUUAUUUUGAUUUAAUUACUCUUUUAGUCCUUAUAGUUUAUUUUAUUUUGAUUUAAUUACUCUUUUAGUCCUAUAAUUUAAGACAUUCAUUUUGGUUUCUAUAUUUACAUUUUUGUUACCUUUUUGUCCUCGCGGGGAAGAUUCAACUCACACAUAAACAUGAACAAAAUUAAUAAAAAUAGGGAAGCAAGCUCAGGUACAACUGAAGUGUAAUGGAGGUAUGAGACAAAGGCACUACACAUUCCAUUAUUCUUGAGUCUGCCACCGACCUCUGAAAGCUUAGCAUUUGCCAAUUGCCAUGAUGUAAUCUCCUUCUUGACAGUCUCUCAUCAAGUUGGAGUGGUAUCACAGCAUUGAACUAAGUUGAUCGUUCCAAUGGGAUGAUGGUUUUGAUUGCUGCAGAUAAAGUGUGUGAUUGUGAGUUUCUGGUUCCAUGAGUAACAGAUCGAGGUGUGGUAGUUUGUGCCUUCAUGGUUGGGAUGAUGUUGCAGGUGCCGGUUUCUUGUUGAGAGAAAAGAUGAUCAGCCAUGUCUCGUGUGUGCAUAGGAGAGUGUCUUUGCCCUCUCCAUAACAUUAGUUUCAACAAUUGACUUUAGUCGAAACUUGAUGGUGAGAAUCAAAGAGUAAAAAAAAAAAAAAAUUCAACCGGGACUAAAAUAGAAUGAUUUAAACUAUAAGAACUAAAAAGAAAUAUUGUCCUAACUUUACAAAAGGAUAAUUAAACCUUUUAUUUUUUUUGUAAAAACAGGUUUGGAAUUUGCAACUUUGAAUUCUAUCUAAUUAAGCUCUCAGUCUUUCAUUUUUGCAACUCUAUUUGGGUAGAAAGAGAAGAAAUCUGGGCCUAACUCAAAUCUAAAAGCUAGUUCAUAGGGUGAGGAUUGCCCUCACCUUAUAAACUCUUUCUUGAGAUUAUCUCUAACCAAUGUGAGACUUGAAUUUUUUUUUUUUAAUUCACCCCUCACGUUUAACACUCUUUGGGCAUGGUGCGUAAUCCUUUUGAAUGGAUCUAGGAUAUACCAAGAAAAAAUUUGGGCCUAACGGAAAGAAACCAAGUUUGAAGAUACAACAUUUGAUACUAUAACUGUUUGGUGUUUUGAAAAUCCCACUCACAUAUUUCCAAAUGUUACAGAAGACUUUGAUUCAGUGGUUAUUACGAAUUCCUUCCUAGCCUUUUUUACCAAGUCAGGGAAUUUGCAUUGUUGUGCAUGAUGGCUGCCACAAGGACCCUUGUACCAACCCAUUAGUGCAAGUGGUUUUUUUCUUAGGAGAAUUGAGAAACAAAUGAUGUGUUUUAUAAAAGGAAUUCUUUUGCUUUGAAUUUUGAACUUAUAAUGUUUUUUGUUUCCCUCACAGAACAAGUGAUGAAACUCUUGACGCCAUACGUACGCCUACUUUGAUGCUCUUUUUUCAUUCCACUUUUAUCUUAAUGGUAUCUCAAGUUAAUUAGAAUGUACGUAUAAUAAAAUAAUGAGAAUGGCAACUACUAGUAGUACUUAAUUAGAAAAAAAACUAUCAAAACUAAAACGAAAAUAACUUUGAUGAUGUUAAUACAUGAGUUUAAUUUAGAUAGACAGUGUAAAAAUUUAAAUUGUUAAUUAAUUAGAUAUCACCUAAUGAUUUGUAAAACAAUUACUAAAAAAAGUUAUAGGAGAAUAUAUAUAGUUAAUUGCAAUUCUAAGUGUAUUUAAAUAGAAUUCUUAAUUAACAUAUCCUUAUUGUGAUUUUUUGUAUAUUUUUUAUUUAUUGAGACAGUGGAAUGAGACCGCACUAUAAUUUUCAUCACGGGUGUGGUUGUCAAAUAUAAUAGGGAUGGUUAGUGAGGAAUUUUGGAAUGUUAGUUGGUUUUCGACUAUAGCCUCUUGUUCAGUGUUAACAUUUUCAUUAGAGUUAAGUUGCUUUUAGGGAAGAACAAAUGUCUUGAAAUUCCCUCUUCUCCAGAAGCAGUUUUAUUGUGUCUUUAUCGAAGCCAUCUUCUCCAGAAGCAGUUUUAUUAGUGUUAUGUUUUUUUAUAUAUUUUUUAUAUUUAUUUCUUUUCAAAUUUGAUGACAACAUUGUCAUUUGGUCUUUCUACCCUUCACAUCAGCAAAUUGGACAAUAAAGAGACUCGGUCAGAAACAAAUAACUACUAGGGGUAAAAUAACACGAGAGAAUUUAACACUUUUGGAAUAGGAAAAUGUACUUUUUUUUAAGAAAAUAAAAUUAUGUUUUUAAUCCAUGAUUUAUAUUCGACUUUUUAUUUGAUCUUUUGACAAUUUUUUUCUUCAACGAAAAUCUCUAAUAUUUGAAAUCUUUUGCUUUAAAUUUCUAUCAUUAGUUAAAUAAUAAUGUAUCGGUUAAAUAUUCGGUAGAUUGUUGCAGUGGUCUCACACAAGCCAUGAAGACCAACAAGAAGUGUGUCUGCCUUAUUCUCAAAGACAGGGAUGAUCCUGACCUUGGCUUGAAGAUUAACAUGACAAUUGCUGUUGGUCUCCCUUCUCUUUGCAAAACUCCUGAUAAUCUCAGGGAUUACGUUUAGCCGCGACAGCAUUAGUGCACUGCAGUUAGUUAGGGGACAGAGAUAGUGCUUUUCCCAAAUUCUGUUAUCCUCAAAUUCUGUUAUUAUCUGCUAGAAAACAAUAAGCAGUGUAAAUUGAGAGGGAACUUGAAUAAGAUUAAAACAGAAGAAGCUGAGAAAACAUUUUCCCGUUGUUUUUGUUUUUUUGGAUUUUAGAACACUUAUUUUGGAUAGGAUUCUCCAAACUUAUAUAUUUUGGAUAAGAAAUUGAUUACUAAGUAGUCUAAAAUUAUUUUAUAAAACAGUUUCUUAACUGAGAAUACUCAGGCCCUAAAUCUUCCAAUUUUAGUAUAUUUCUAAAAAAAUCAGAAUAUUUGUGGUCUAAGUUUUAUGAUUAUCAAGCCUUUCAUUUUCCUUAAAGAACAAAAGAGUGUUACAUUCCAUUUACUGUGUAAUGAAUGGUCAACAAGUCAUGUACUUCAAACUUUUCUACUUUUCUCAUUCAUAACUAGACAAUAACACAUUUUAAAGGGGAAAAAAAGGGCAUCUAAAUCUGCCAAUUUUACUUUGUUUGUGUAUCUGUUAUCUCUGAGUUUUCAACUGCGAAAGUUAAAAAUAUUUGAGGUUUGAUUUUUUCUCAAGAAAUUCUUGUUUGAAACGAUUUGAACAGCACUUCUGCACUUGGAUCCUAAAUCACCUGAAGCUAAAGCUUUUAAUCAAAUUGGUCAGAAAUCCAAUGGUGGUUCUAUUAGUCCUUCGCCCACUACUUCUGGUAGUGAUCCUUUCAACAAAAUAUUUCAUUUUUAGAAUUUAUUUUUGACAUUGACAUUUGAGUUUCAAUGGUGUAGUACUAAAUUUUGCAUUUACUUUUAAUGUGUUCUUUUGUGCAUUCAGCUGAAGGAAGUUCCCAGAAUGGUAGAAACCAGGGGACAGAUGAAACGGCCACAGCUAAGAAGAAUAGCGCGUCUUAUAUCUGGAAGAGAUUGUUAGAAAGUUUGGUUGCAGUUGCAGGGCUUCUAAUUUAGCUUUCAUGAGCUUAACUCAAAUACUACCUAUAUAUUACCAUUCUCAUAUCAGGUUGAAACGUAAACCAUUGAUUAGUUGAUAGUGUAAAAAUAUUUACACUCGAGUGUAUUAAAUCUCUGACAGACUCACAAUAGAUAUUAUUGCAAAACCUUAUUGGAGAUUUAUUUUUGUGAGCAUUUUGCCUUUAAUCUCAUACAACUAAAUGCUUGUUACACAAAUCUUAUUGUUCAGUCCUAAAAGUCUUUUAUCUCUAAUAAGUAAUAACGACUUGUUGUAAUAGAAAUUAAAAUCUUAUUAUUUUUUUUAAGUACACUUGAGGAAAAUUUUGGUAUCCCACUUUUCAAUUGCUCAGUUCGUCCCCAUAUUUUCAAAUUUUACAAAUUUGAUUCAUUAGUUAACUUGAUAUCCAAUCUUUGAUGGAGAUGUUUAUGAGGCUAUAUGUGAAAAUAGAGUGUUGGCAUGGAUCUCAACUUUUAAUUCCUCAAUUUUGUUUGCCAUAUUUUUAAAAUUAUGCGAUUUUGGAGCAGGAGUGUUGUUUUUCAAAUAUACCAAUACUACUCAGGGAUUAUGCAUGGGAAUCUUCUUACAUGUAUACUACUAUGAAUUAUGUUGUCUGCUUAAAGUUGUAGCAGAAAAAUACAGGUAAUUUUGAAGAAGGGGAAAUGCAUUUCAGAAGAGAAUAAUUGAGAUAAUGUGGAACAUUUACCUUGUAGCAUUUCCAUUUUGAAAAAUAAUAAGUUUCUAACAUUACAAAAUUAACAAACUAAUUUUUUUUUCUCGUAAAGCCUACAACUCAUAUCCGUCAAGCAUGAUAUGGUUUCUUUAGCCAAGUACAAGAUAAUCUAGAUUCUACUUCUAUCCUCCCAAGAUAUUCUAAGAAUGAAUGAAUUAAGUUGAAUAUGGAAAAAAAAAAGUAUUAAGAUGUUAUGGUUUGAUUAUCCCACUAACUUUUCUCCCAUGAUUCAACUUGUUGAAUUGAGCUUUCCUUUCUCUGUAAUGUUGCAUACAAAGUUGGAGGAUCAAAAGGGACAGGCAUGGUGCAAAGGUCGGUAUUUGCAGGAACCUUGACCAAUGAUUCCAUCAUAAAUUUCUUUACUGAUCCUUCUGCUCCACAAACCAUUGACUCCACACAUAGUUCUGUAGCAUUAGCACUUAUGGAGGGUUUGUAUCUGAAGAGUUUAGCAUAUGAAUUAAGGAGAUGAAACAUGUAGUCGUACACGUAGUCCAUCUUUACCUCUUCUUGAAUGAAUUGAAAUCACUCGCCACCUUGCCAAUUUGUUGUGCCUGAUAAAUUUCACAAAUAGAAAUGAAAUGAAACAAGUUAAACAUUGAGAAAGUGUUGUUUAAUUUAUUUAUUUCCUCCAAAAAAAUUUGCAUUAGGAGGUAAUUCUUGUUUAUUAUUUGUAUAAGCUCACAUUUUAGUAUAUAGUAUAUCUGCAUAUGGAUUGUGCAAUGAUGUAAAGGAUGAAUCAUUGAUUUGCAUAUAACUAUUGACCCUGAUUAAUAUUAAGUGAUUCACCAUUAAAUCAAAUAUUCCGAGGUGAAUUCUUUUAGGAUUAAUUAACUUGGUAAGAAUUAUAUUCUAGCCUUAGUGAAGAAGCAAAACUUCAAGAUUACCCUUUGCUUGUGAUUAUUUCCCCAAUCCACAGCAAACUUAAUGGAUCUGCACUUGUCAUCGUCCUUUAUGGGCCAAUAGUGGUGCACUGGAAUCAGUCCUCUUGUGAAAAAAUCAUAGUAUUUAGGUUUUACAAGUAGAGUGGUAGAGUCACAUGACAGAAUGUAUUUUUGACUGAUGACCAAGCAGAACCUUCAAUGUACACCUUAUAUCUGCACGAUCAUGAUUGAAUAGGAACAUUUAUUUAUUGAUAAACUGAACAUAUAUAUCCAAUAACAAAAAUAUAUUAUAUAAUUAUAACUGAAGCAUGAAUGGACAGUUUGAAUGUUAUACCUAUAAGUGCAUUGACUAGGCAAGUCUGAUUUGUUGAACCCCUCUUGUGAUUCUCGAAACCAAUCCUGGAACAAAAUUUUCAUUUGUCAAGAAGGAAGCUAUAUAUGUGGCUUUAUUGUGAGUCAAUUAACAGACAAAAUAUAUUGUCCAGAAGUAAAAAAUCAGUAAUGUUCAAUAACAGGUUAUUUCCUUUGAUUUUGAAUGUACUUUUAAGUUGUGUAUUAAUAAAAGAUUAAAAGUUAAAAAAGUGUAUAAUGUUAUAUACAAUAUUGAUACUGGCCAUUGUGUUGCUUGAAUUUGCCUGUUAUUUCUAGUUUCUGCACACCAUGUGCUUAAGCCAAUUUUAUAUAAUGAAACUUUUGCUUAUGAGAAAUAUUACAUACAAAAUUAAUUUUUUCAUAUCCAAAUAAUAAAACUACUUUCAAUAAGUGUAAUCAAACAAAGCUAAUAAGAAGUGUGAUACCUGGGCAAAUAAACGAGCAUUCCAAUCUUGAUUUUCAGAAACAUUGCAUUUAAUGAGGUCUUGUCUGGUUUCAGCAACAGCUGGAUUACCUUUCCAGUAAGCAUAAGGCUCUCUGUUCAGCCAUGGUAUCCUCGUAGUGCCUUCUUUCAACCCUCCCAACAAAAUAUGCCAUGGCUUUAUAUUAAUCUCUGACCUGUGCACCACACAUACAAUACUUUUUACUUAUUUAAAAAUUAAGGUCCCGUUAGGGGUGAUUGUCAAUUUUCAAUUUUCCGUUUUAAAAUAUAAUUUCGAAAUACAAACAUGUUCAACAAAAAUUACACUAAGUUGAUUUUUUACAUCUUUCUGAAAUUUUUUUUAUCACAUUUAACAAACAAUUUACUGAUUAUUGUUUAUGUUUUAACCUUUACUGUUUAUUUUUUAAUUAUUUUUAUUAUGUUUAAUUCUUUUUUAUUUAUUUUUUUGUCAACAUUUUUUUAAUAUUACAUGAUUUUAUAAUGGAGUGUGAUAAGAUUAAAUAUUUAAAUUAUUUUAUCUAUUAAUUAAUUUUUUUAAAUCUAAAAAAUAAAAUAAACUGAAACUAAAAACUCAAAACAUAAACUGAGUUUAAUUUUUAAUGAUUUUGAAACUGAACAAUAAAAACUACUUCUAGAAUUGUGUCCCAAACAAUGUAAUAAAAAUAUAAUUCUAUUGUAUAUUUGUAUAACAAAAUCAUAUUUAUGUAAAAAGAAUACUUCUAGAAUUUUCUAAUUUUCUACCCACAUGGGUAAUGUGAAUAGCAAUAUAAAAUCCUACUUAGCCUGCUGCGAUACGAUAAACAAAUUUUGAAAAUUUUCACUCAUAAAUGGACUCCUUUAGAUGUCCACACAUAGGUCCUUCUAGACUUGAAUGACAAAUUGAAAGGUACCCAAAAAAAAAGGUUUUGAUAUAAUAAUCACAUGCUAAAAGGUUAAUUUGUGUAUUGUGAAUUAUUGAUUUUGUUUAUUAUAUAUCCUUUUUCUUUUCCUUUUUUUUCAAAAUUUUAAUUAUUUGACAGUGUGAGCUAGGUUUGUAUGAUGGCUAUGAUAAUGAGGAAUUAAGUUUGACAAUGGAGAGAACCUGUUGCUCCAAACUACCUUCGAUACUUUAUGUUUGAAAGAAAACAAAAAGAUUGCUCCUACUGGGUCCUCAUACAGAAACUAUCUCCAGAGAAUUAGGGAGAAUAAAGGAAGAACAAGGUAAGAAAAGGGCAAUUUUUAUUCAUGUCAUAGCUUGUUAUUUACAUAGAUAUAUAUAUCAAUCUUCCUAACAGAAUUGUAUCAAUUUGCUCAAGGAAUAUUACACGUAUCAAAGUUUGUUAUGCUUGUCGGAGAGGAUAAGACAAACAUGACCCAAGCUAGACCUCUACUGCUAAAUUGCCCACUGCUGCUAUAUUGUCCAAUUUGCCCCUUUUUUCUUCAUACGUAAUCACGAAGGUAAGAUGGCUUUGUGACCUUUCUCUUAGUCUUUUCUUCUUUUUGCACCUCUGGUUUGUUAAUUACUGCUACUCCCUUCAAUGUUUCUGUCUUUCUGAUGCUUGCUUCUAGUUCCUUAUCCCUGUUAUCUGCUUCUGAUAUCCUAUCACUAUCUCAUGCUGAAAAUUACUUAUGAUGUUUUUAUAUCAUAACACAACAUUAUUUUUCUUAUAAGAAUAAGAAUCUUACUAACAACUACUCUUAUAGCAUUAAUUAAGAAAUUCAAAUGAAAAAUAUAGUGAACAUUAAAAUUUUUAAAAAAAUCAUAAAUAGCAUAAUUUUAUACACUUCAAUGAAAAUUAUUUUUAAAAAAAUCAUAAAUAACAUUAUUUUCACACGGCCAUUAUAUUUAUUACAAGAAAACCUUUAGAUAAAAAUUAUUUUUUUUGUACUUUUAGCUUGGUCGUAAACAUUAACAUUACAUCACGCACACACACAUAAAAGGCAAAUCAAAUUAUUUUAUAUCCCUAAAUUUUAUGAGGAAGGAUGCUAUAAAUAUUAACAAUACAUCUCACACACACAAAGACAUCUAAAAUUAUAUCACUAAGUUUUAUGAUGUGUUACGGUUUGCUUUAAAAUAUGGUACAAGGUUUAUCAGAGACCGGCUUAUAAGUAAAAAUUAAAUUUGUCAUAAAGGGAGUAAAAUGGAAAAUAAUUAAUUUCUUGAUUAGAAUUAAAUUAGAAUAAGCUGUGCAGAUCUUAUAAUUUUUGUUCACUAAUUCGCCCACCACAUAAUGUUUUAAUUUUUCCAACUUUGUAUAAUCUAAAAAGUAUAAAAAUGAAGAUUACGACUUUCAGCCUCCAGUUCCUUUUAAUGGAAGAAGUGAGUAAAUGUUGAUGCGAUAUCGGUAGCUUUCAUGGGCAGUGACCUUGUCAAAGAAUGCUUGGGCCAUGAUCAUUCAAAAAUACCCUUAAUUGAUCUUUAGCUCAACAUUUUGUAUAAUACGUUAAUUAAUUUUUUAAAAUUAUGAUUACUAUCAAUUAUUUAAUUCUUAAAACUGUUAAACAAAAGACAUUUUGUUUAUUUGUUGAUAUUUUUAUAAGGUUAAAAUAUAUUUUUAAUCUUAUAAAUAUUUAAAUAUUGAAAAGUUAUUUGAAUAAAAUUUUAAUAUAUUUUUCGUUCUCAUAAAAAUAAAAUAUAUUAUUUUUUUCUUGAAGUAAGAUUUAAACAUUCCAAAUUAUUUAUUACACUUUUGAUUAUAUGUAUAAUUAAUGUAAAAAUAAUAUAUUUACAUCGAUUAUAUAUAUGUAUAAUCAAUAUAAAAAUUCAUAAUUUAAAUUUAUCUGAAUCUACAUUCAGACCAAAUAAUAAUAAUGUAUUUUAAUUUUGUAAAGAUAAAAAAAUUUAUUAAAUUUUUACAAAAAUGAAUUCCAAAAAUUUAUAUAUUUAUCAAAUAAAAAAUUAGCCAAGAUACUUCCUGCGAUUUUGUUAUCACUCUUCUGUUUCAGGCUUCAUAUUCCGUUAGUUUUGGUUGUAAUUAAUACUGAUCCUGGAACACUUGAAUAUUAAUUCAUUUUGACUCUUCAAAAAAAUUGUUUUAUAAAGAUAAAUUAUUUAGUAUUUUUUGUGUUAAUUUUUAAGUAAAGUUAACAUUUCAAUUUGAUAAUCAAUUUUAAAAGCUGACUUUUAUUAUUAUAUAAAGUAAAACUUGAAAAAGCAAAACGAAUAAUACUUAAAAAGUUACACCUAUUAUUUGCCCUUUUUAUAGUUAUGGUAAUUUAGAAUAUUACUCCAACAAUUUUGUUGGUUCUCAAGCAUCAUUGGUUAUCUAUGGAUAUCUCAUCAAAGUUCUUGGCCUGGCCGGCUUGGAGAGUCAAGUCUUGUAUGCAGCCACGAGUCACGACUUUAAUUAACACGAAAGAACUAAUUAUUCACUUCAAUGGUUAGUGACUAAAAUUAAAUAUAAGUUUUUUUCCUAUUAAACCACGUUUUCUUGAACCACUAGUCCCCCAUUUUUUGGAAACAAGAAUGUGAUACACAGAAUUGAACAACUAGUUGAUCUUAACUACAAAUAUGCUCAAUAUGCAAAUAUGUACAUCCCAAAACAGAAUUUAAAUAAGACUCUCAAAUUUGAAAAAAAAAAAAAAGAAAGAAAGAAAGAAGAUAGCAAUGACUACAAUGGAAAUUGAACAACCUGGCAAUACAAUGAUACAACAUCGGUUGUAAGCAACACUAAACAGUGAUACUAUACGAGGAAAAAGAUUGAAGUUUGAACCACAGAUGAUCAAGGAAAUGAAAAUAGACAUGCCGCCAUGAUCUACAAAUCAGCAAAGGAGCAAUCACUAUCCAAAGUCCCACAACAAAUCCAAUUGUCGCACUAACAAAAAACCAAUUCACUCCAUGCCCAUGACUUCCUUCAUAACUAUGAGUUUUCCCAUUGGAGCUGCAGUUUAUGGGCAGUGGUGGACCACAUAGAUUGUUGCCAAUGAAUCUGGAGGCAUCAAAGGUUUGCAAUUGAGUUCCUGUUGGAAUUUUUCCCUUCAAAUGAUUAUAAGACACGUCUAGCAUGCUCAGAAAGCUCAAAUUAGAAAUGGUUGGAGGAAUUUCACCAGAAAUUUGAUUCCUCGAAAAAUCAAUGGUUUGUAACGAUCCCAUAUUACCAAUACCUUCUGGAAUAGGACCAAUCAAUUGGUUGUGGGACAAGUUCAAAAAGUUCAAUCCAUUUAGAUCUGUGAUUUCUCUAGGAAUUUCUCCUAAUAAUUUGUUACUUGACAGAUCAAUACUUGUUACCAAACCCAGAAUGUUUCCAUACUCAUCUCCUCUUCCUUUUAGCCAUAGUAGCACACUAACUAUACCUGAUACCGAAGAGUAUCGUGUAUUAUUUGGUGCUUGAGAAUAGAUUUGGGGAUCUGUACUCCGGUUCACUAGUGUCAUGGCACUCAAGUUACGGAAACAGCUGGGUAUAUUGCCAGACAAAUUAUUUUUUGCAAGGUCUAAAACCUGAAGAAGACUCAUCUGACAUAUUUCAUUUGGAAUGUGACCGGAAAAACUGUUUGAUCGAAGGCGGAGGAUUUUCAUAUUUGAGAGCUUUUCUCCAACCCAUGUUGGAAUACAUCCUGAAAGAUUAUUUUCUCCAAGAUCCAAGGAUAUCAAUUGGCUAGUCUUCUUCAGACUGGUAGGAAAUAUUCCCGAGAGCAAGUUGUUACGAAUUUCUAAUGACUGCAGCUCAGCCAAGGAACCCAUGGAUGGGGGGAAGUUCCCAACAAAAUGGUUGCUUUGUAAAUUCACGUCCACUAGAAAUGGCCAAUUAAUCCAACAAUCAGGUAUUUCUCCUGACAGAUUAUUUGAUGCAAGAUUGAGAAAUUCUAAUUGCAUUGGCUUGUCCUGAUUGUUACAUAAAAAAUCUUGCAUGGAUUCAGAGAAUGAAUUGGUUGAAAGGUCUAACUCAUACACAUCAUUUGAAAGAUAGGGUAAUUUACCACACAAGUGAUUUGUGCUUAGAUCAACAGUUUUGAUAGAUAUUGGAUUUUUUAUUGUAGUCACAAGCUCACCAUGGAUAUGAUUAUGAGAGAGGUUUAAAUACAAAACCUGAGAAUGUGCUUCCCAGAACCAAGUGGGAAUAGAAUCUAAAAUCCCUGUGUUAGACAGUCCAACAUAUCGAAGUUUGUUUUGUGACUGAAUCCACGAUGGAAAGUUGGGACCUAUCUGCCAUGAUGUCACAUCCAAAUAGGAAAGCUGGAAAUUAGGAAGCCAAUUGGGACCCACUUUUAAAGUGAAAUUGUUCCCUGAUGCAUCAAACUCCUUCAAACUUGUAAGAUUUGCAAGAUCAUCUUCGUUGACAACUCCUUGAAAAUUAUUGCCAUUAAUAAGAAGCGAUGACAAUUUAGAGAGUGAUCCAAGACUUUCAAAUGGAUUUCCACUGAAUUUAUUAAUAGAGAGAUAGAGAUAUUUUAAAUCUAUCUCCCUUGAGUUGCGGAGAUUACCCAAAAAAGUCGGAAUUGUUCCUUCAAGUUGAUUAUAUGACAAAUCAAGUUCAACAAGAGAAGUCAAAUUUCCCAAAGAAGUUGGAAUGGUUCCUUCAACUUGAUUAUGUGACAAAUCAAGUCCGACAAGAGAAGUCAAAUUUCCCAGGGCAUCAGAAAUAGUCCCAUGCAAGUUGCUGGAACUUAGGUCCAGAUACUUGAGACGAUGAAGACCGUAUAAGCAAUUAGGUAUAGAAGAUGAAAAUGAAUUGAAAGACAACUCAAGAUUUUGAAGAAGUGUGAGGUUUCGAAUACCACCAGGAAUCGGACCUUGAAUUUCAUUACCCUGUAAUUGAAGAGAAACAAGUUUCUUCAAUUUGAAUAUCCACUUGGGGACAAAAGAAAUGGCAGGGGAAUAACUAGUACGGGAAAGAUCGAGAGUUUGCAGAGAUGAGAAGUUGAGCAAGGAUGGUUCAUUAUAGUGAGGGAGUUUGCAGUCUGACAAAUCUAGGUGGGUCAAAGAAGGAAGAGAUUGGAGAGUGUGUAGCCAAUGAAAUGCUUUGGAUAGGUUUGCAUAACUCAAAUGAAGAUAUUCAAGCUUCCACAUACUUGAUACCCAUUCUACAUUUUCAGCUAACAGAUGUUCGACAGCAGAAUAAUCUACAUUUUCAGCAAACAGAUCAUAACUACCUCCAAGGCCAAGAUAGACCAAAUUGGAGAGAUUCCCAAUCUGAGAUGGAAUCUUCCCCAUGAAUCCAGUAUGAGAGAGGUCGAGGUGAGUCAAGGAGGUCAUUGUGUUGAGUUGGUUAGGAUUCAGUUACAGAGGAGAGAAAAAUAGAGAAUGAAGAUGAAAGAAGAAAAAAAUAUUAUGAUUGAUUUGUAAAGUGUGUGUUACAAAGUAUUUAUAUUCUCAGAUACAAGCUACUACUAAACAAGACUACAACUAACUAGUUAUAAUCUCAACACCCUCCCUCAAGCUUAUCAUGGUAGAUGUUGAUCAUGCUAAGCUUGGAGACAAAAUCAUGAAAUUUGGGUGGUGCCAAUGCUUUGGUGAGAAAAUCUGCCACUUGAUCACUUGUUGAAACUGGUAGUAGCUUUAGAGUGCCCUUCAAAAGCUUCUCUCGCACAAGAUGGCAAUCAAUUUCCAAGUGUUUUGUGCGUUCGUGAAAAACCGGAUUUGAGGCAAUGUGGACUGCGCUUUGGUUGUCACAGUAAAGAGUUGGAGUUCUGGUAAGCUGAACUCUCAAAUCUGCAAAAAGAUACAACAGCCAUUGCAACUCACAAGCAGCUGAAGACAGAGCCCUGUACUCUGCUUCUGAAGAUGAUCUGGACACAGUUGCUUGCUUUUUAGCACGCCAUGACACUAAAGAUUUGCCUAUGAAGAAACAAUAUCCAGAUAUGGAUUUUCUAGAAUCCAUACAGCCUGCCCAAUCAGCAUCUGAAUAACCUAUAAGUUGCAUUUCUGAAGUUCUGCUAAAGAAAAUACCUUGGCCUGGGUUGUUCUUCAAAUACCUCAAUACUCUACAUGCUGCAUUGAAAUGAACAUUUGUGGGUGCUUGCAUGAACUGGCUAAGUUGUUGUGUUGCAAAAGCAAUGUCUGGCCUAGUUGUGUUUAAAUACAACAACUUCCCAACUAUGCGCCUGUAACCUGAAAUAUCAGCAUAAGGAGUGCCUGCAGCACUGUGCAACUUUAUGGAUGUGUCAAGAGGUGUGCUAGCAGGUUUGCACCCAAGUAAUCCUGAAUCCUUAAGCAGAUCCAGACAAUAUUUCCUCUGUGAGAUGGUAAUACCCAGUCUAGAAUGAGCAACUUCAAGCCCAAGAAAGUAUUUCAACUUACCCAGAUUUUUAAUUUUGAAAGCUAAAUCAAGAACAUUCUUGAUCCUGUCAAAUUCAUCAAUUGAAUCACCUGCAAGAAUGAUGUCAUCUACAUAUACCAACAGUGCAGUGAAAGUAUUUCCUUUGGUGAGAGUAAAUAGGGAGUAAUCUGAAAUUGAUUGUAUGUAACCUUCUUUGAGAAGCAAAUUAGUCAGCUUUUCAUACCACUUCCUACUUGCUUGCUUCAACCCAUACAAGCUCUUUUGUAGCUUGCAAACAGAAUUAGGCUUGGCACAAGUUACCCCAUCUGGUAUUUUCAUGUAAACAUCUUCUUGAAGAUCUCCAUGAAGAAAAGCAUUAUUGACAUCCAGUUGAUGAAGGUGCCAAUUCUUUAUGGCAGCUACUGCCAAAAGAGUCCUAACAGUGGUAAUCUUAGCCACAGGGGAGAAGGUCUCAAAAUAGUCAAUCCCUUCUACUUGAUUGUAGCCUUUGGCUACUAAUCUGGCUUUGUAUCUCUCUAUUUGGCCAUUUGCUUUGUGUUUGACUUUAUAAACCCAUUUACAUCCUAUGGGUUUAGUAUGAGGUGGGAGUUCAACAAUUUUCCAGGUACAAUUUUUAGCCAAAGCAUUUAAUUCUUCCUUCAUGGCUGUUACCCAGUGUUCAUGCUUACUAGCUUCCUCAUAAGAUUGAGGCUCAGUGCAGUGUGUGAUUGACAUACUAAAUGCCUUGUGUGAAGGAGACAAAAGUGUAAGUGAAUGAAAAGAAGACAAGGGAUAUUUAGACUUUGUACCUGAAGUGAGAGAUUCGUGUGAAGUUGGAGAUGUAUUGUGACAAACAUAGUCAGACAAAUGUAAUGGUGCCCUUCUUUGUCUGAUGGGUUUGGAAUGUAAUAGAGGAGAAUCAUUGUGAUCUUUAGGUGGAGGUGUGGAGGUAGAGGUAUCAGAAAUGACAGUGUCAUUUGAAAUAUUAGGAGAUAAAGAUGAGUGGGGUGGUGAUGGUGACUGCUCAGCAUUAAUGUCUAAGGAAAUGUCACUAUCUAAGGUAAUGUCACUGUCAUUUGGAGUAGGACUGAUGGAAUGAUACUCCCAAGGAGUCUUGGGAGAUGAGGACUGAUAGGGAAAAAUGUGUUCAUGGUGAGUCACAUCCCUAGACAAGAAUAUGGAAUUAUUUAAUAGAUCAAGGAGUACAACUCCUUUCACACCAGAUUUAUAUCCUAGAAAAACACAUUUUCUAGCUCUAAGGUCUAACUUGGUUCUAUGUGAUUGUAAAGUAGAUGCAAAAACUAGAGAACCAAACACUUUGAGAGUAUCAAAAUCAGGGGCAGUAUUAUACAAUAAAGUAUAAGGAGAUUUGUUUUGUAAAUUUGGUGCAGGGACUCUAUUCAUGAUGUAUACAGCAUGGGAAACAGCAUAACACCAAAAAGACUUGGGGAGAUUAGACUGAACAAGAAGAGCUCUACCUAUGUUUAGAAUUUGCUGAUGUUUUCUCUCAACCCUGCCAUUUUGCUGGGGAGAGUCAACACAGCUAGUCUGGUGUAAUAUACCUUUGGAGGCAUAGAAAUCUGGCAUAAGGAACUCAGGACCAUUGUCUGUACGAAUGGAUUUAACAGAAUGAUUAUAUUGGGUUUUAAUAAAAUGAAUAAAGUUUUGAACAUGAAGUCUAGCUUCAGAUUUAUUUUUCAUUAGGGUUAUCCAAGUAUAUCUAGAAUGGUCAUCAACAGCAGUAAGAAAAUAAGCAUGAUUAUGAACAGAUUUAAUAGAGAUGGGACCCCAUAUGUCAAAAUGAAUCAAAUCAAAACAUUUUAUUGCUUUAUGAUAACUGUGUACAAAAGGUAAUUUUCUGUGUUUAGCAAAGUGACAGAUGUCACACACAGAACUAGAAUCAUUUACAAUAAAGGGGAAUUGAGAGUGUAAAAGAGCAAUUCUAGAACUAGACAGGUGACCUAACCUGAAAUGCCAAAUUGCAUUUUCAGGUAUAUGGACAUUAUUUGCUGAGGAAAAAAUGGAAGAAAUGUUGUAGUUGGAAGAAGCACAUUCCUUAUUUGUCUGAGUCAAGUAGUACAAGCCAUCUCUGCUUUCACCCAAACCAAUCAUCUUCAGUGAUUUCUGCUCCUGUAUGGAACAAAUAGUGUCAGUGAAAUUGAGUGUAUAAGGUGUAUGGUGACAUAAUUGAGAGACAGAAAUCAAAUUGACUGUAAAGGUAGGAACAUAUAGGACAUUGGUGAUACUAAAAGAAGAGGAAAACACAACUGUGCCUGCAUAUUUAGUGGUGACAUGAUUACCAUUUGGUAAUUUUAUAAUCAUGGGAUUGAUUUCACUAUAAGAGUGAAACCAGUGCAGUGAGGCACAUAUGUGAUGACUAGCACCUGAAUCUAUGAUCCAGGUAUCAAGAGCAAUAUUAUUACAAAUAGAAGAAUAAAAAAAAUGAGAUAUUUUCAUACCCUUCGUAUCUGCUGAUGAAGGACCAGCAGUGUUGAAUGAGCAAACCUGUUUAGAAGUAGAAGCAUUACAAUGGUUAACAGAAGGAGGUUGAAUUAACUGCAGAAGCUUAUCUAAUUGUUCCUGAGUAAGUGAAGGAGUCAUGGUGACACUUGUGGUGUUCUGAGAUGCAGUUGAAGAUUCAACACGUUCUCCCCCAUCAACUGCAGAAUGAUGAGCAGAACCAGAGUGAUUUUUCAUCAUGUGAGGAGGAACACCAUGCUUUUGAAAGCAAUUCUCAACAAAGUGAUUCGUCUUAUGACAAUAGGUACAGUAGCGCUUGGAACCAGAAUUAGAUCUUCCAUUAGCAGAACCUUGAGACUUACUAGUUGAAGCAUUAACAAGAGCCUUUGAAUCAUCAAGAUUAGGAACACAAUUUUGACGUUCAAAUUGAAUCACCAUAGAAAAGAUCUUGGUGAUAGAAGGUAGAGGUUCAAUCAGAAGAAUCUGAGAUUUAACCGCAUUGAAUUCAUCGUUUAAACCAGUCAAGAAACGCAUAACAUGAAGCGUAUGAUGAUGACGACGAGCAAGACGCAUCGCAUCACAAGAACAACGAUGAUGACAUGUGCAAUUUGGAAUCGGCAUGUAAAUUUCAAGUUCUUCCCAAAGCGCUUUCAGAUCAGAAUAGAAAGUAGUUACAGAUCGAGUACCUUGAGUGAGAGCGUAAAUCUCUUGUUGAAUUUCUGAAACACGAACCAAAUCACCUUGUGAGAAACGCUCUUUCAGAUCGAGCCACACAUCGGAAGCGUUAUCCAUGAAAACGAUGGAUCGGGAAAUGGAAGGUUCAACGGAGUUGAGAAUCCAGCUAUGAAUCAACAUAUUGCAGCGAUUCCAAGCUCGGAACGACGGAUCGAAGGCAUCAACCGGCAUCGGAAUUGUUCCGUCAAGAAAUUCGAACUUGAGUUUGGCUCCGAGAGCGCGUCGCAGAGACCUCGCCCAAGAAUGGUAGUUGGAACCAUCGAGGAGUGGUGUGACCUUGACGGAGGAGGGACCGUCGCUAGGAUGAACAAAGAACGGACUAGUAGGAUCAGUAGAGGGAUCCGCCGGUGGCGGUGGUGCUAUACGCGGUGGCAUAGUGGCGGAAGCAAAAGGAAUGGAUCGUUAGGUCGAUGAUACCAUGUUGAGUUGGUUAGGAUUCAGUUACAGAGGAGAGAAAAAUAGAGAAUGAAGAUGAAAGAAGAAAAAAAUAUUAUGAUUGAUUUGUAAAGUGUGUGUUACAAAGUAUUUAUAUUCUCAGAUACAAGCUACUACUAAACAAGACUACAACUAACUAGUUAUAAUCUCAACACAUUGCACAAAGGAAAGAAGGAAUUGCCAUACCUUCUCCAAGUAAAUCAUUGUCGCUCAAGUCAAGAUAUCGAAGCUUAGAGAGAUUCCCGAUCUGAGAGGGUACUGUUCCGUUGGCAAAAACAUAACUCAGGUCAAGAUACACCAAAUUUGAGAGAUUCCCAAUCUGAGGAGGAAUCUUCCCAUAGAAUCCAGUAAGAGAGAGGUCGAGGUGAGUCAAGGAAGUUAUUGUCCCAAGGAAAGAAGGAAUUGACAUACCUGCUCCAAGUAAAUAAUUGGCGCUCAAGUCCAAGUAAUUCAAAUGCUUUAAAUCAGCCAAACAAGGACUUAUCUCUCCACCAAACUGGAAUCUCCUAUAAGCUCCCCUGUCAUAGAAAGCAGCAGAAAACGUAGUGUUGAGGUGAAGCUGAAGAAGAUGGGAAGUGACGUUGUGGCAGAGGACUCCAUACCAGUGGCAACAGUUGGUAUUAUUAUGAUUCCAAGACCAAAGCCUAUUGGAAGGAUCUAUGAGAUUAUUCUUAAACUUCAAAAGUGUCUCACGCUCACUUGGGAUGCACACACUCUCUCUGCAUGGUAAGCUCAACAACCAAAGCUGGACAAAGACAAGAAUAUAAAUGGAGGAAUUCAUGAUCACACAAGAAUAUAUAGAAAACAAGUGUAGUUGUUGGUUCUGCAUAUAAAUCAUCAAACUUCUAUUAUUUAUACUGCUGCCCUGCCUGUUUUUUUAGGUACAGUUUUUUUUUACAAAAAUAAAUAAGAAUUAUUUUAUUUUAAUUUACUCUAUAAUACUGCUUAAAUGAAAAUUUGGUGUCAUUAAACUUCAAAUUUUAAUUAUUAUUUAAUCAAUCCUUCCGUUAAACUUUUGUUACGUACAAAAGUCCAACAUUUUUUUAAGAAAAAAUCAAGUCUUUUAUUUCAUCAAAUUUAAUAUUAAAUUAUCAAAUUUUCAAUAUUCAAAACUAAAAAUAAUGUAAAAGAAAAUUGUCUUCUAAAUCAUAGCUUACACCAUCAAGUCAAUCUCAAGGUUUUUCAUUUUUUCAUCUUGAACCUUUGGACACUUCACAAAGUCCAGCCAUGAUGUUAAGGUCUGACUUCUUCAACUUGAACCAUAGGUCACUGCAUUAAUUACCUUCAUAUCAAGUUCCCUGUCAUUGACAACACAUGUUGCAAGUUGAGUCAAGCAAGGAAAAAAAAUAUUAUUGAUGAAUAAAUCAAUUAUAGGAAAAGAGUUUACUUUAAAGACUAUUUUGGUUAAAAAAAUCUAUAAAAAAAAUUAUUUCAUUCCAAGCUAGCUAUUUAAUUUUGAUCAAUUUUUCAAUUCACAAAAUAAUAUUCUUCUUAUAUGUGAAAAUGACUAAUUAAUCUUCAUUGUCAUUAAUGAUUGUUGUGUUGUCUAUUUCUAAUUGUUUUUUUAAUCAUAAUAUUAUUUUCUUUUUAUUAAAAAUUAAUUAGUGAGAUACAAAGAAGUUUAACUUGAUCUAUCAUAAUUAUUGAGAUCAUAGUUUUUCCUUUUAUAAGUCUUGGUCUAAAUUUCUCCAUGUAUUGUAGAUCAUAUUUAACUUAAAAAGUAAAUUAGAAGAUCUACAAAGAAGUGUGACAUGUUUUUUAAAUUAUAAAAUUAUGGUCCUAGCUAUUUAUUGUUAGACCACAAGUUUUCAUAUAUUAAAGUUUUUGUCUAAAUUUCAUUUAUGGUGAUAGUUUAAGAAUAGUGAUAGAAGACAAAAAUAAAUAUUCAAUUUAUUGAAAUAUCUAACUCAAUUAAUUGAUGAAUACAUCAAUUAUAGGAAAAGGGUGUACUUUAAAGACUAUUUCUAUUAAAAAAUCUAUAAAAAAAUUAUUUCCUUCCAAUCUAAUUAUUUAAUUUUAAUCAAUUUUUCAGUUCACAAAAUAAUAUUCUCUUAUAUAGGAAAAAAAGACUAGAUUUAAUUAUCAUCAAUUGGAAAAGUAAUUGUGUCAUGCAUUUAUAAUUGUAUUCUAACUUGAAUAUUAUUUUAUUUAUCAUAUAAAAAUUAAUUAGUUAUAUAAAAGAAGUAAAAAUAAUAUUAACUUUUUUUCUGAAAAAAAAAUCAGUGUCAUAUUUUAUAUUUUUUACAAGUUAUCAACUUAAAUAAGAGGAGAAACAUAAUUUUAAUUUCCAUUUUACUUUUUAAAUAAUUGCAAGUGCCAAAUUUAAAUAAUUAUGAGAAUCACGUUCAAUAUAAUAUUCUAAAAAAAAUCCAUAUGAUAACUUAAACAAUCUAUAAAGAAAUAUAAUUUAUUCUUGUGCCAAAUACUAAAACAAAAAACAUUUUUUAUUUUAGUUUACCGUAUAGAACUGCUUAAAUCAAUGAAAUUUUUAUUUUAAGAAAAUAUUAAUGAUUUUUUUUAAAACUUUAAGUAGUUUACAUCAAAGAUAAUUAAAUUUGGCUUAAUUAGUCUUCAAAUUUUAACUAUUAUUCAUAUCAAUCCUUUCGUUAAACCUGUACGUGUUAAGUAAACAACAAAAAGUCUUGUCUUAUAAAAUUCAAACAUUCUAUGACAUGCGGUUUGAACUCAUAAUUAAUUUUAAACUAUCAAAUUUUAAUUAUUCAAAAUAAAAGAAAUGAAAACAAAAUUGUCUCCUAGAGAAACCGCUGGCCACUCCACCAAAUUCAUAUCAAGGUCCCCACUUUUCCAACUUGAACCAUAGACUACUCCAUCAAAUCUAUGUCAAGGUCCUCCAUUUCAAGGUCCCCACUUUUCCAACUUGAACCAUAGACUACUUCAACCUUAGGACACUCCACAAAGUCCACCCAUAUUAAGGUCUCUGCCUUCUUCAACUUCUGCAACGCAUAUAUAGAAAACAACUUAAUUGUAUAAGUGCUUCUUGCUUCUGCAUAUAAAUCAUAAAACUUCUAUUAUUUAUACUGCUGCAAGUGUCUUUCUUGACUUUUUUUCUUUUUUUUAUGAUGUUUCCUUUUUUUAAUUAUUGACUUUAUUAUCCAAUUCUCCCGAGUUAAUUCUUAGAAUAGGAAAUAAUUUUGAAUUUACUUUAUCUAUCUCCCUUUUUAAAAUUCCUAUAUACACAAAAUUUUAUAUUGAAUUUAACUAUUAUUUAAUAUAUCCUUUCGUUAAACUUUUGUUAAUUAAACAAUAAAAGUCCAACAUUUUAUUAAAAAAAUUCAAGUCUUCUAUUUCAUGGACUCCAUCAAGUCUUUUAUUAAAAGUCCAACUUUUGUUAAUUCAAGUCUUUUACAAAAUUUUGUUAAUUCAACUUUUGUUAAUUAUUACAAAAUUUGGUAUUGAAUUUAACUAUUAUUUAAUUCAAGCCUUUUAUUAAAAGUUCAAAUUUUGUUAAUUUAAAUAUUAUUUUGUUAAUUAAACCAUAGCUGACUCCAUCAAGUCGUAUUUUUUCAUCUUGAACCUUUGGACACUCCACAAAGUCCAGCCAUGUUAUGGUCUCUGGCUUCAACUUGAACCAUAGCCUGGGCCACAAACAAUAUAUUAAUGAUAAAUACAUCAAUUAUAGGAAAAUGGUCUAAUUUAAAGACUAUUUCAGUUAAAAAAUCUAUAUAAAAAAAAUUAUUUCGUUCAUAUCUUGGUAUUUAAUUUUGAUCAAUUUUUUAAUUCACAAAAUAAUAUUCUCUUAUAUAUGAAAAAGCUAGACUAGAUUUAAUCGUCAUUUGGAAUGGUUGUUGUGUGAUCUAUUUCUAAUUGUAUUCAAACAUGAAUAUUAUUUUCAUUAUCAUAUAAAAAUUAAUUGGUGAUAUAAAAAGAAGUGUGAAAAAGAAUAUUAAUUUUUUUCUAAAAAAAAUUAGUAGCAUAUUUUGUAUUUUUUUACACGUCAUCAACUUAAAUAAUAGGAGAAACAUAAUUUUAAUUUCCAUUUUAAUUUUUAAAUAAUUUUAAUUGCCAAAUUUAAGCAAUCAUAAAAUUUCUCAUGUUCAAUAUAAUAUUCUAAAAAAAAAUAUUCAUAUGAUAACUUAAAUAAUCUACUAAGAAAUAUGAUUUAUUCUUAUGCAGAUCGAAUACUAAAAUAAGAAAAAAAAAUAUUUUAGAUCACAAUAUAAAAUUGCUUAAAUCAAUGAAAUUUCAUUUUAAGAAAAUAUUAAUAAUUUUUAAUACUUUAAAUCAAAGAUAAUUAAAUUUGGUUUAAUUAGUCUUCAAAUUUUAACUAUUAUUUAAAUCAAUCCUUUCAUUACACCUUUGUUAAGUAAAUGAUAGCAUAGCAAGCAAGGAGGUGCUAGCAGUAACACUCUCACAAAGAUAAAGAUCUUUAAGCCAUCAUUUUUUUUCCUUUUCUUUUCUAUGAACUGUCAUUUCUUAUCUCUACAUGGAAUGUCUAGAAGUUGAAAACUUGAGCUUUCUUUAACUAUACUGCUUUCCAUUUUGGCGAACUGCUUUUCUUUCUCAUAAUGAACUUUCCACUUCCAAUGAUGGUUCAACAUUAAUAAUUCUUUAUCUAUUUUGUCUAAAAAUUUCCAAUCACUUUUUGUGAGUGGUGUGAAUGUCAUGCAGACAAAUGAUGUCCAAGCUCCACUUUUUCCAUUCAUUGCAAGUUGUAAGCAGAAUGUAGAAUGUACGUAUAAUAAAAUAAUGAGAAUGCCAACUACUAGUACGUAGUACUUAAUUAAAACAAAAGUAUCAAAAUUAGAACGAAAAUAACUUUGAUGCUGUUAAUACAUGAGUUUAAUUUUGAUACACAGUGUAAAAAUUUAAAUUUUUAAUUAAUUAGAAAUCACCUAAUGAUUUGUAAAACAAUUACUAAAAAAAGUUUCAUUUGAAACUUAGUCUUCCACCCGUCUCAAGCUCUCCACAUGAACACUAAGCUCUAGACAAAAAUAAAUAAAUAAAUAAAUAACCACGAGAAAUAAUAUAUAACUCUUUAGUGGACAAUUGGUGUUCUUUUGUGCAUUCAGUUGAAGGAAGUUCCCAGAUUGGCAGAAAGCAAGGGACAGAUGAAACGGCCACAGCUAAGAAUAGUGCAUCUUAUAUCGGGAAGAGAUUGUUAGAAAGUUUGGUUGCAGUUGCAGGGCUUCUAAUUUGGCUUUCAUGAGCAUUACUCAAAUACUACCUAUAUAUUACCACUUUCAUAUCACAAAAUGUCUUGCCUUAUAAAAUUUAAAUAUUCUAUUACUUGCAGUUUGAAUCCAUAAUUAAAUUUAAAAUAUCAAUUUUUUAUUAUUCCAAAUAAAAGAAAUGAAAACAAAAUUGUCUAGUCUCCUAGACAAACCACUUCCCACUCCACCAAAUUCAUAUCAAGGACCCCACUUUUCCCACUUGAACCAUAGACUACUCCAUCAAGUCCAAGUCAAUGUCCUUCAUUUUUUCAUCUUGAAUCUUAGGACACUCCACAAAGUCCAGCCAACCAUAUUUAGGUCUCUAUCUUCUUCAACAUGAACCAUAGGUCACUACAUUACCUUCAUAUCAAGUUCCUUAUCAUUGACAACAAAUGUUUAGAAUUAAGUAAGCAAGGAAAAAAAAUAUAAAUGAUGAAUACACCAAUUAUAGGAAAAUGAUCUAAUUUAAAGACUAUUUCGGUUAAAAAAUCUAUAUAAAAAAAGACUCUUUCGUUUCAAUCUAACUAUUUAAUUUUGAUCUAUUUUUUAAUUUACAAAAUAAUAUUCUUCUUAUAUGUGAAAAAAAAACUAAUUUUCAUUGUCAUUAAUCGGAAAGAUUGUUGUGUCGUCUAUUUCUAAUUGUAUUUUAGCCUGAAUAUUAUAUUCUUUUUCAUUAAAAAUUAAUUAGUAAGAUACAAAGAAAUGUAAAAUGCUUGUUUAACUUGGUCUAUCAUAAUUAUUGAGAUCAUAACUUUUUUCUUUUAUAAGUCUUUGUCCAAAUUUCUCCAUAUAUUGUAGAUCAUAUUUAGCUUAAAAAGUAAAUUAGAGGAUAUGAUAUACCAAGAAGUGUGGCAUGUUUUUUUAAAUUAUUUAUCUAUGGCCUUAGCUAUUUUAUUUUUAGACCACAAGUCUUCAUAUAUUAAAGUCUUUGUCUGAAUUUCAUUUACUUGUGUGGUGAUAUUUUAAGAAUAGUGAUAGAAGAGAAAAAUAAAUAUAUAAUUUAUUGAAAUAUCUAACUUAUGAAGAUUUGCAUUCUUAAUGCAUAAGAUUUUCAGUUUAUAUAUUAUCAUUAUUUGGAAAUAUUUUUUGUGUUAAUUGUCUAUUUCUAAUUAAUUUGAAAAUGAAUCUUAAUUUUUUAUCAUAAAAAUUAGUAUUAUAUUUUUUAUUUUCUUUACAAGUUAUCAACUUAAAUACUAAUAGGAGCAACAUAAUUUUAAUUUCCAUUUUACUUUUUAAAUAAUUUUAAGUGCCAAAUUUAAGCAAUCAUAAAAAUACUCACGUUCAAUAUAAUAUUUUUAAAAAAUAAUUCAUGAGAUCACUUAAAUAAUCUUCAAAGAAAUAUAAUUUAUUCUUGUGCCAAAUAAACAACAAAAAAAGUCUUGCAUUAUUAAAUUCAAGUCUUCUAUUACAUGCAAUUUGAACCUAUAACUAAUUUUAAAUGAUCAAAUUUUUAUUAUUCAAAAUAAAAGAAAAGAAAAAAAAAUUGUCUUCUAGACAAACCAGAGACAACUCCACCAAAUCCAUAUCAAGGUCCCCACUUUUUUAACUUGAACCAUAGGCCACUCCAUCAAAUCUAUGCCAAAGUUUCUUAUCAUUGACAACAAAUGCUGAGAGUUAAGUCAAGCAUGAAAAAAAAUAGGGUAAAAUAUAUCAUUUCUAUCCCUAUAAAAUUUUAAUGUGCUACUUUUUUUUUUUAUCCUGAGUUAAGUUUGGAUGAUAGAUAAUUAUCAUGUAUUCUUAGAUUUUGGUGUCAUUUUAGGAUAUUUAUGUGAUAUAUGUCUUUUAUGCUUUUUUAUUGUCAUGAACUAAUCUUCUCUUUUGUUGGAGUUGAAUAUAAUUGGUUCAUUUUUCAUGUAAUGACUAUUUUUUAUUGAAUAAAGCAUUCUAAUUGUUUCUCUUCUAUGUUUAAUAUGUGUUUUUGGCUUAAUCACCUGUUUGUAUGAUUUUUUUUAUUCAAUUGUAAUUUAAAUUUUUUUUUGAACUAUGAAUUGCAAAAAACACCUAAUAAUUUUUAUGUCUAGGAAUAAGAUAAAAAGAAUUGAGCAUCAAUAAACACUUUAUCUUAAUGAAAAUCAUUUAGUUAUAUUAAUUUAAGGGAUUAAGGGAUUUAGGUCUCUUCACUAGGAAUUAAAGUGAAGAUAAUAUGAUGGGAUUAUGAUAAUAUAACCUUUAUUAAAUAUAAAUGUGUAGUUAUUAGGUAAUAGAAACUUCAAUGAAAUUAAACCCCAACAAUUUUUUCAUUGAUUUAACCCCAACAAUUACAUGAGGUGUUUGUUAAAAUUCCCAAACAAUUUUUUUCCUUAAUUUUUUCCUUAAUUUUUUCUUUUAUUUUCUUCUUUAGUUUUCUUAUUUUUAUUUCUUACUUUAAUUUCUUUAUCUUUAUGCAUAUUGUUAUUUAAAUCAAAUUAGCUAAUGUUAAUUAAUUUCAAAUAUGCAUAGUAUAGAAAUUAUACUUUUUAUUACCCAAUUAUUGCCUAAGUCCUGUUAAUGCUAAUCAUUGUUAGAGCACAGAUAGUAGAAGACAAUAAUGCGUGAUAAAUACAAAACAGAAUUUGAUGCUCAAGUCUGAAGCUCGUCUAGUUCUCUUAACAUUAAGAACAUUUAUUACCAAUGAAAGCAAAACAAACAGACACCCCAUAUGAACAUGUACAUAGUAUGGUAAACCUUUUCACAUUUUUAAUGUCUAGAAUAACACGUUGUAAUGUCUCUCACUCCUAACAGUUAACAUGUAAACUCACAAUUUCCCAAGUAACCUUCUUACCUUCAAAACUAUUAUCACAUAAAUCAGAUCUCUCAAGUGGUCAAGAUAAUGAAAAUAAGCACGCCUCCAAGUUCUGUUGAAGAAAACAACACUGCAAAAACCCCAAAAUCCUGCUGCAAAUCCAACUCCCAUACCGAUAUAAAACUCUGAUGUUCCAAAGAAAUUACCAUCACCGUGUCCAACAGAAGCACUCUCUGUCAACUCUUCCUUGUCUGUGCAAUUUUUUGUCACAGGAGGACCACAAAGCUCAGGAUUUCCAGUGUAGCUAAGUUCUUCAAAGCUCUGAAGUUGGGUGCUCGUGGGAAUUCUGCCUGAUAAGUUGUUGUAUGAUAGAUUCAGGACACUGAGGAAGGACAAAUCAGAUAAGCUUUGAGGGAUUUGACCUGAAAUGUUGUUUAGUGAGAGAUCAAGGGAUUCUAACAAUUUCAUUUUUCCCAUGUCAUUUGGUAUCCCUCCAGACAGAUGAUUUCUAGACAAGUUCAAAAACCGCAAAGCAGAUAGCUUGGAAAUUUCAGAUGGAAUUGCUCCAGACAGCUUAUUACUUGAAAGAUCAGUCAUUCUCACCAAUAUCAGAUUGUCUCUGUACUCUAACUCAUCUCCUUUGGGAACUAAGACAAGAGUUUCCUUGUAGUGGUUAUAACUGAAGUCAGAGCCAUAUGAAUAACUUAAAGGGUUGGCAAAGAAGUCAUCUUCACCAGCCAUUGUCUUCAUGUCAUCCAAACAAUUUGGAAUGGAUCCUGACAGGCUGUUAUUGCCAAGAUCCAGCACUAUAAGGGAAGAAAGUUGACAAAUCUUUUCAGUAAUGCUGCCAUUGAAAUUGUUGGAUCUUAGACGAAGAACCAUUAGAUAUUGCAUUUCCCACAUCCAAUCUGGUAUUGCGUCAGAAAGUUGGUUAUUGCCCAUGUCAAUGAAUUUCAUUGUAGAGCAAUUUUGCAGUGUUGAAGGAAUAUAUCCAGAGAAGCGGUUGUCGUCUAACAACAAAGACUCAAGUUGAGAUAGAUACCCCAUGGAGUUUGGAAUAGCACCAGACAAAUUGUUACUACCCAAGUUCAAAUGCACCAAAGCUUGCCAAUGCACCCAACAGUGACCAAGAUCACCAGAUAAGACAUUAUUUGAAAAAUCAAGCACACUUAAAUUAUUAGUAGCAUUUUCCUUUCCACAUAAAAAGGGAGAAAUUGUUCCGGAAAUUGAGUUAUUGGCAACAUUCAGCACUUCAACAUUUGCAGACACACUUGGCAAUGUACCCUUGAACAAAUUAGAACUCAAAUUUAUGAGGCUGGAAUUGAGAAAGAUGUUAGAUAGGUCUCCACUUAACAGAUUGUUGGACAGAUCCAGGAAUUCAGUUUGCAAAGUCCAAUUCCAAAACCAACUUGGAACCAAGUCUGCAAUACCUGCCUUAGACAUUGUCAAAACCUUCACAGAACUUUGCCUUUUUAGCCAUUCUGGAAACUUAGGACCUAUUCCAAAGGAGCUCAGUAAAACAUAUUCAAGCUGAAAAGGAGGAACCCAUCCAGAGUUGACACUGAGGAACAAGUUUGUCCAAGACAAACGUAGUUCCUUUAAUUUCAAAAGUUUUACAAAAUUUGACUCUUUUAUAGAUCCUUCUAACAAAUUAGAUGAAAGGUCUAACAUCACUAAAUUUGAGAGAGUUCCAAGAGUUACAGGCAUAUCACCAGUCAAAGAAUUAGUUCCAAGAUUUAAUACCUGCAGGUUUCUGAGGAACUCAAAACUCUUAGGAAUGGUUCCAUUCAGUCGGUUGUGAGCCAGGUUUAAAGUUCUCAAGGAUGACAAGUUUGCAAAUGGUGAGGGAAUUGGACAAGUAAAGGUAUUAUUACUGAGAUUUAGAACUUCAAGAUGCUUAAGCUGGCCUAAUGAAUCUGGAAGUGGCCCACUGAGCUGGUUGUUCUGCAGGUCUAGAUUUUUUAUGUUCUGAAGGCUUGAUAUUAUUUGUGGAAUUUCUCCCUGUAAAAGGUUACUGUGUAAAUCAAGUUGGACAAGAGCUGUGCUGAGAUUAAAUAGCCAUGAAGGGAUUUGCUGAUUGAGAUUGUUAAUUGAAAGAUCAAGGACUUGGAGAUGUGUGAAGUUGAUUUUUCCUUUUGGUGGUCCUAAGUUAUCAAUUUGACAGCUCUCCAAGUGUAGUUCUGAAAGAGAUGGAAGUUCACUCAGUACUUGAAGCCAGUUACCUUGUUUAUGAAGGUCUGAACCACUCAAAUCAAGGUACUCUAAGGAAGAUAGCCUUGAUAUCCAAUUAAGGUUAUCUAUCUGAAGAGCAUAAUUGUAUCCAAGAUUAAGGUGCUGCAGGUUUGAGAGGUUUCCUAGUUGAUGAGGGAUUAAUCCCAUGAACCCACUUAAGCUAAGGUCCAAGUAUCUCAGACUCUCCAAUGAGCCUAGGAAGCUUGGUAUUGGAGUAAGAACAAAAUAAUUUGAACUCAAGUCCAAACGAUUCAAAUAUUUUAGUUCAAGCAAAGAAGGACUAAUCUCUCCACUCAACUCCCUAUAGGGAGAGCCCGCAGGUGUGUCAAGAUUGAUUUCCAUGACUUUACCUGUGUUGUUGCAGUGAACCCCUGGCCAUGUACAGCAAUCCGAUUUGUCAGACCAUGAUGAAAGCCUGUUUGAAGGGUCUGCUAGUCCAUGCUUGAAGCUGAGGAGUGCAUUCCUUUCCUUCUCUCUGCAAGUCAUAUUGAGCCUUGCUGCCUUGCUUGCACUGAAGUGGAGAGUUGUUGCAGUGGACAAUAUCAAGAGAAGAACAUGAGUUGCAAAUAGCACUGCCAUGAAGAAGAAGGAAGACGAAAAAGGUUGAAUCCACAAUUUUCUGGUUCACGGUUGGUAUUUACUACUAACAAUGCCAAUGCCUAUAUAGGAUAUAUACCAUAGAAGGGUUUGCAUUUAAAAUUUUAUUCCACUAAUGGUGGUGGUUGCAAAAUGCACACAUAUGUAGAGGUAUAUAUGUCUACAAGGAGACAUUUAGGAUUAAAAGUGCCUAACCACACCACCAUUAUUUUGCUCUAGUUUAUUUUAUUUUGAUUUAAUUAUCCUUUUAGUCCUUAUAGUUGUGAUAAUUUGUUUUAGUCCCUAUAGUUUAAGACAUUCAUUUUGGUUCUUAUAUUUCCAAUUUUUUUUAUCUUUUGGUCCUCGCGGGGAAGAUUCAACUCACACAUAAACAUGAACAAAAUUAAUAAAAAUAGGGAAGCAAGCUCAGGUACAAAUGAAGUGUAAUGGAGGUAUGAGACAAAGCCACUACACAUUCCAUUAUUCUUGAGUCUGCCACCGACCUCUGCAAGCUUAGCAUUUGCCAAUUGCCAUGAUGUAAUCUCCUUCUUGACAGUCUCUCAUCAAGUUGGAGUGGUAUCACAGCAUUGAACUAUGUUGGUCGUUCCAAUGGGAUGAUGGUUUUGAUUGCUGCAGAUAAAGUGUGUCAUUGUGAGUUUCUGGUCCCAUGAGUUAAACUAUAAGGACUAAAAAAAAUAUUGUCGUAACUUUAAGGGCCAAAAGGAUAAUUAAACCUUUUAUUUUUUUAUAAUUUUUUUUUACAACGGGUUAUAUAUAUGUAGCAGUUUAUUCUAAACAAUGGACUACGUGUGAAAUCUUUGAAUUCUAUGUAAGAAAUGUUAUUUCAAAUUUCUCAUCAGUCUUCAUGUCAAUGAUGACAUGCUCCAUUUGAAUUCUAUGUCUAAUUAAGCUCUCGGUCUUCCGUUUUUGCAACUUUAUUUCGUAGAAAGAAGCCAAAUUUGAAGAUACAACAUUUGAUACUAUAACUGUUUGGUGUUUUGAAAAUCUCACUGACAUAUUUCCAAAUGUUACAAUCUCCUAGCCUUUUUUACCAAGUCAGGGAAUUUGCAUUGUUGUGCAUGAUGGCUGCCACAAGCACCCUUGUGCCAACCCAUUAGUGCAAGUGGUUUUUUCUUAUGAGAAUUGAGAAACAAAUUAUAUAUGUGUUUUAUAAAGGGAAUUCUAUUAUUUUUAAUUUUGAACUUGUAAUGUUUUUUGUUUCCCUCACAGAACAAGUGAUGUGACUCUUGAUCGACGCCAUACGUACGCAUACUUUGAUGCUCUUUUUUCUCACCACUUUUAUCUUAAUGGUAUCUCAAGUUGACAAUCAUAAAUUAAAAUAGCUAACUAUAGUUGAUUAGUAGAGACAAACAGCUCAAAGAUAAAGAUCUUUAAGCCAUCAUUUUUUUUUCCUUUUCUUUUCUAUGAGCUGUCAUUUCUUAUCUCUACAUGGAAUGUCUAGAAGUUGAAAAUUACUUGAGCUUUCUUUACCUACUGCUUUCCAUUUUGGCGAACUGCUUUUCUUUCCCAUAACCAGGAAUUCAUGGGAAGUGACGUUGUGGCAGAGGACUCCAUACCAGUGGCAACAGUUGGUAUUAUUAUGAUUCCAAGACCAAAGCCUAUUGGAAGGAUCUAUGAGAUUAUUCUUAAACUUCAAAAGUGUCUCACGCUCACUUGGGAUGCACACACUCUCUCUGCAUGGUAAGCUCAACAACCAAAGCUGGACAAAGACAAGAAUAUAAAUGGAGGAAGAAUUCAUGAUCAUGCAAGAAUAUAUAGAAAACAAGUGUAGUUGUUGGUUCUGCAUAUAAAUCAUCAAACUUCUAUUAUUUAUACUGCUGCCCUGCCUGUUUUUUUCUCCACUUUCAUUAUUUUUUACCUUUUUUAUUAUUGUGCCAAAUACUAAAAUAUUCUUCCAUUCUUUUUUUUUACGGUGACCUCUUUAAAUUAUCGAUUUAAUUAUCCAAUUCUCCCGAAUUCAUUAUUUCAUUCCAAGCUAGCUAUUUAAUUUUGAUCAAUUUUUCAAUUCACAAAAUAAUAUUCUUCUUAUAUGUGAAAAAGACUAAUUAAUCUUCAUUGUCAUUAAUGAUUGUUGUGUUGUCUAUUUCUAAUUGUUUUUUUAAUCAUAAUAUUAUUUUCUUUUUAUUAAAAAUUAAUUAGUGAGAUACAAAGAAGUUUAACGUGAUCUAUCAUAAUUAUUGAGAUCAUAGUUUUUCCUUUUAUAAGUCUUGGUCCAAAUUUCUCCAUGUAUUGAAGAUUAUAUUUAACUUAAAAAGUAAAUUAGAAGAUCUACAAAGAAGUGUGACAUAUUUUUUAAAUUAUAAAAUUAUGGUCCUAGCUAUUUAUUGUUAGACCACAAGUUUUCAUAUAUUAAAGUUUUUGUCUAAAUUUCAUUUAUGGUGAUAGUUUAAGAAUAGUGAUAGAAGAGAAAAAUAAAUAUUCAAUUUAUUGAAAUAUCUAACUCAAUUAAUUGAUGAAUACAUCAAUUAUAGGAAAAGGGUGUACUUUAAAGACUAUUUCUAUUAAAAAAUCUAUAAAAAAAUUAUUUCCUUCCAAUCUAAUUAUUUAAUUUUAAUCAAUUUUUCAGUUCACAAAAUAAUAUUCUCUUAUAUAGGAAAAAAAGACUAGAUUUAAUUAUCAUCAAUUGGAAAAGUUAUUGUGUCAUGUAUUUAUAAUUGUAUUCUAACUUGAAUAUUAUUUUAUUUAUCAUAUAAAAAUUAAUUAGUUAUAUAAAAAGAAGUAAAAAGAAUAUUAACUUUUUUUCUCAAAAAAAAAAUCAGUAUCAUAUUUUAUAUUUUUUACAAGUUAUCAACUUAAAUAAGAGGAGAAACAUAAUUUUAAUUUCCAUUUUACUUUUUAAAUAAUUGCAAGUGACAAAUUUAAAUAAUCAUGAGAAUACUCACGUUCAAUAUAAUAUUUAAAAAAAAAAAAUCCAUACGAUAACUUAAACAAUCUAUAAAGAAAUAUAAUUUAUUCUUGUGCCAAAUACUAAAAUAAGAAACAUUUUUUAUUUUACUUUACCGUAUAGAAUUGCUAAAAUGAAUGAAAUUUUUAUUUUAAUAAAAUAUUAAUGAUUUUUUUAAAACUUUAAAUAGUUUACAUCAAAGAUAAUUAAAUUUGGCUUAAUUAGUCUUCAAAUUUUAACUAUUAUUCAAAUCAAUCCUUUCGUUAAACCUGUACGUGUUAAGUAAACAACAAAAAAUCUUGUCUUAUAAAAUUCAAACAUUUUAUUACAUGCGGUUUGAACCCAUAAUUAAUUUUAAACUAUCAAAUUUUAAUUAUUCAAAAUAAAAGAAAUGAAAACAAAAUUGUCUCCUAGAGAAACCGCUGACCACUCCACCAAAUUCAUAUCAAGGUCCCCACUUUUCCAACUUGAACCAUAGACUACUCCAUCAAGUCUAUGUCAAGGUCCUCCAUUUUAAGGUCCCCACUUUUCCAACUUGAACCAUAAACUACUUCAACCUUAGGACACUCCACAAAGUCCACCCAUAUUAAGGUCUCUGACUUCUUCAACUUCUGCAACGCAUAUAUAGAAAACAACUUAAUUGUAUAAGUGCUUCUUGCUUCUGCAUAUAAAUCAUAAAACUUCUAUUAUUUAUACUGCUGCAAGUGUCUUUCUUUUCUUUUUUCUUUUUUUUAUGACGUUUCCUUUCUUUAAUUAUUGACUUUAUUAUCCAAUUCUCCCGAGUUAAUUCUUAGAAUAGGAAAUAAUUUUGAAUUUACUUUAUCUAUCUCCCUUUUAAAAAUUCCUAUAUACACAAAAUUUUAUAUUGAAUUUAACUAUUAUUUAAUCUAUCCUUUCGUUAAACUUUUGUUAAUUAAACAAUAAAAGUCCAACAUUUUAUUAAAAAAAUUCAAGUCUUCUAUUUCAUGGACUCCAUCAAGUCUUUUAUUAAAAGUCCAACUUUUGUUAAUUCAAGUCUUUUACAGAAUUUUGUUAAUUCAACUUUUGUUAAUUAUUACAAAAUUUGGUAUUGAAUUUAACUAUUAUUUAAUUCAAGCCUUUUAUUAAAAGUUCAACUUUUGUUAAUUUAAAUAUUAUUUUGUUAAUUAAACCAUAGCCGACUCCAUCAUGUCUAUCUCAAGGUCCUGUAUUUUUUCAUCUUAAACCUUUGGACACUCCACAAAGUCCAGCCAUGUUAUGGUCUCUGGCUUCAACUUGAACCAUAGCCCAUAGGGCACAAACAAUAUAUUAAUGAUAAAUACAUCAAUUAUAGGAAAAGGGUCUAAUUUAAAGACUAUUUCAGUUAAAAAAUCUAUAUAAAAAAAGAUUAUUUCAUUCAUAUCUUGCUAUUUAAUUUUGAUCAAUUUUUUAAUUCACAAAAUAAUAUUCUCUUAUAUAUGAAAAAAAGACUAGAUUUAAUCGUCAUUUAAAAUGGUUGUUGUGUGAUCUAUUUCUAAUUGUAUUCAAACAUGAAUAUUAUUUUCUUUAUCAUAUAAAAAUUAAUUAGUGAUAUAAAAAGAAGUGUGAAAAAGAAUAUUAAUUUUUUUCUAAAAAAAAUUAGUAGCAUAUUUUGUAUUUUUUUACACGUCAUCAACUUAAAUAAUAGAAGAAACAUAAUUUUAAUUUCCAUUUUAAUUUUUAAAUAAUUUUAAUUACCAAAUUUAAGCAAUCAUAAAAUUUCUCAUGUUCAAUAUAAUAUUCUCAAAAAAAAAUAUUCAUAUGAUAACUUAAAUAAUAUACUAAGAAAUAUGAUUUAUUCUUAUGCAGAUCCAAUACUAAAAUAAGAAAAAAAAAUAUUUUUGAUCACAAUAUAAAAUUGCUUAAAUCAAUGAAAUUUCAUUUUAAGAAAAUAUUAAUCAUUUUUUUAAUACUUUAAAUCAAAGGUAAUUAAAUUUGGUUUAAUUAGUCUUCAAAUUUUAACUAUUAUUUAAAUCAAUCCUUUCGUUACACCUUUGUUAAGUAAAUGAUAGCAUAGCAAGCAAGGAGGUACAAGCAGUAACACUCUCACAAAGAUAAAGAUCUUUAAGCCAUCAUUUUUUUUUCCUUUUCUUUUCUAUGAACUGUCAUUUCUUAUCUCUACAUGGAAUGUCUAGAAGUUGAAAACUUGAGCUUUCUUUAACUAUACUGCUUUCCAUUUUGGCGAACUGCUUUUCUUUCUCAUAAUGAACUUUCCACUAUUCCAAUGAUGGUUCAACAUUAAUAAUUCUUUAUCUAUUUUGUCUAAAAAUUUCCAAUCACUUUUUGUGAGUGGUGUGAAUGUCAUGCAGACAAAUGAUGUUCAAGCUCCACUUUUUCCAUUCAUUGCAAGUUGUAAGCAGAAUGUAGAAUGUACGUAUAAUAAAAUAAUGAGAAUGCCAACUACUAGUACGUAGUACUUAAUUAAAACAAAAGUAUCAAAAUUAGAACGAAAAUAAAUUUGAUGCUGUUAAUACAUGAGUUUAAUUUUGAUACACAGUGUAAAAAUUUAAAUUGUUAAUUAAUUAGAAAUCACCUAAUGAUUUGUAAAACAAUUACUAAAAAAAGUUUCAUUUGAAACUUAGUCUUCCACCCGUCUCAAGCUCUCCACAUGAACACUAAGCUCUUGACAAAAAUAAAUAAAUAAAUAAAUAACCACGAGAAAUAAUAUAUAACUCUUUAGUGGACAAUUGGUGUUCUUUUGUGCAUUCAGUUGAAGGAAGUUCCCAGAAUGGUAGAAAGCAAGGGACAGAUGAAACGGCCACAGCUAAGAAUAGUGCAUCUUAUAUCGGGAAGAGAUUGUUAGAAAGUUUGGUUGCAGUUGCAGGGCUUCUAAUUUGGCUUUCAUGAGCAUUACUCAAAUACUACCUAUAUAUUACCACUUUCAUAUCACAAAAUGUGUUGCCUUAUAAAAUUCAAAUAUUCUAUUAUUACUUGCAGUUUGAACCCAUAAUUAAUUUUAAAAUAUCAAUUUUUUAUUAUUCCAAAUAAAAGAAAUGAAAACAAAAUUGUCUAGUCUCCUAGACAAACCACUUCCCACUCCACCAAAUUCAUAUCAAGGACCCCACUUUUUCCACUUGAACCAUAGACUACUCCAUCAAGUCCAAGUCAAUGUCCUUCAUUUUUUCAUCUUGAACCUUAGGACACUCCACAGCCAACCAUAUUUAGGUCUCUAUCUUCUUCAACAUGAACCAUAGGUCACUACAUUACCUUCAUAUCAAGUUCCUUAUCAUUGACAACAAAUGUUUAGAAUUAAGUAAGCAAGGAAAAAAAUUAUAAAUGAUGAAUACAUCAAUUAUAGGAAAAUGAUCUAAUUUAAAGACUAUUUCGGUUAAAAAAUCUAUAUAAAAAAAGACUCUUUCGUUUCAAUCUAACUAUUUAAUUUUGAUCUAUUUUUUAAUUUACAAAAUAAUAUUAUUCUUAUAUGUGAAAAAAAACUAAUUUUCAUUGUCAUUAAUCGGAAAGAUUGUUGUGUCGUCUAUUCUAAUUGUAUCUUAGCCUGAAUAUUAUAUUCUUUUUCAUUAAAAAUUAAUUAGUAAGAUACAAAGAAGUGUAAAAUGCUUGUUUAACUUGGUCUACCAUAAUUAUUGAGAUCAUAACUUUUUUCUUUUAUAAGUCUUGGUCCAAAUUUCUCCAUAUAUUGUAGAUCAUAUUUAGCUUAAAAAGUAAAUUAGAGGAUAUGAUAUACCAAGAAGUGUGACAUGUUUUUUUAAAUUAUUUAUCUAUGGCCUUAGCUAUUUUAUUGUUAGACCACAAGUCUUCAUAUAUUAAAGUCUUUGUCUGAAUUUCAUUUACUUGUGUGGUGAUAUUUUAAGAAUAGUGAUAGAAGAGAAAAAUAAAUAUAUAAUUUAUUGAAAUAUCUAACUUAUGAAGAUUUGCAUUCUUAAUGCAUAAGCUUUUCAGUUUAUAUAUUAUCAUUAUUUGGAAAUAUUAAUUUGUUGUGUUAAUUGUCUAUUUCUAAUUAAUUUGAAAAUGAAUCUUAAUUUUUUAUCAUAAAAAUUAGUAUCAUAUUUUUUAUUUUCUUUACAAGUUAUCAACUUAAAUACUAAUAGGAGCAACAUAAUUUUAAUUUCCAUUUUAUUUUUUAAAUAAUUUUAAGUGUCAAAUUUAAGCAAUCAUAAAAAUACUCACGUUCAAUAUAAUCUUUUUAAAAAAUAAUUCAUGAGAUCACUUAAAUAAUCUACAAAAAAAUAUAAUUUAUUCUUGUGCCAAAUAAACAACAAAAGAAGUCUUGCAUUAUUAAAUUCAAGUCUUCUAUUACAUGAAAUUUGAACCUAUAACUAAUUUUAAAUGAUCAAAUUUUUAGUAUUCAAAAUAAAAGAAAAGAAAAAAAAAUUGUCUUCUAGACAAACCACAGACAACUCCACCAAAUCCAUAUCAAGGUCCCCACUUUUUCAACUUGAAUCAUAGGCCACUCCAUCAAAUCUAUGCCAAAGUUUCUUAUCAUUGACAACAAAUGUUGAGAGUUAAGUCAAGCAUGAAAAAAAAUAGGGUAAAAUAUAUCAUUUCUAUCCCUAUAAAAUUUUAAUGUGCUACUUUUUUUUUUUAUCCUGAGUUAAGUUUGGAUGAUAGAUAAUUAUCAUGUAUUCUUAGAUUUUGGUGUCAUUUUAGGAUAUUUAUGUGAUAUAUGUCUUUUAUGCUUUUUUAUUGUCAUGAACUAAUCUUCUCUUUUGUUGGAGUUGAAUAUAAUUGGUUCAUUUUUCAUGUAAUGACUAUUUUUUUAUUGAAUAAAGCAUUCUAAUUGUUUCUCUUCUAUGUUUAAUAUGUGUUUUUGGCUUAAUCACCUUGUUUGUAUGAUUUUUUUUAUUCAAUUGUAAUUAAAAAAUUCUUUGAACUACGAAUUGCAAAAAACACCUAAUAAUUUUUAUGUCUAGGAAUAAGAUAAAAAGAAUUGAGCAUCAAUAAACACUUUAUCUUAAUGAAAAUCAUUUAGUUAUAUUAAUUUAAGGGAUUGAUAGUGUAAUCAAGGGAUUUAGGUCUCUUCACUAGGAAUUAAAGUGAAGAUAAUAUGAUGGGUUUAUGAUAAUAUAACCUUUAUUAAAUAUGAAUGUGUAGUUAUUAGGUGAUAGAAACUUCAAUGAAAUUAAACGCCAACAAUUUUUUCAUUGAUUUAACCCCAACAAUUACAUGGGGUGUUUGUUAAAAUUCCCAAACAAUUUUUUUUCCUUAAUUUUUUUCUUUUAUUUUCUUCUUUAGUUUUCUUAUUUUUAUUUCUUCCUUUAAUUUCUUUAUCUUUAUGCAUAUUGUUAUUUAAAUCAAAUUAGCUAAUGUUAAUUAAUUUCAAAUAUUCAUAGUAUAGAAAUUAUACUUUUUAUUACCCAAUUUUAUUACCCAAUUAUUGCCUAAGUCCUGUUAAUGAGUAUUAUAGAAAAAAUGCACGAAUAGCGAGAGAAGGAAGAUGUGGAAGGGUUUAGAAACUGCAGAAUCCUAUGCAAGCUCCAACUUUCUACACUAAUUAAAUUCAUUCAGGCAAAUUCUAAGUUACACGUUGCGUAAAACAAUCUUCUUAAAUCCAAUCACCGAGUGUGUCAUUCCAGGUAUUUUAAUGCUAAUCAUUGUUAGUGCACAGAUAGUAGAAGACAAUAAUGCGUCAUAAAUACAAAACAGAAUUUGAUGCUCAAGUCUGAAGCUCGUCUAGUUCUCUUAACAUUAAGAACAUUUAUUACCAAUGAAAGCAAAACAAACAGACACCCCAUACGAACAUGUACAUAGUAUGGUAAACCUUUUCACAUUUUUAAUGGCUAGACUAACACGUUGUAAUGUCUCUCACUCCUAACAGUUAACAUGUAAACUCACAAUUUCCCAAGUAACCUUCUUACCUUCAAAACUAUUAUCACAUAAAUCAGAUCUCUCAAGUGGUCAAGAUAAUGAAAAUAAGCACGCCUCCAAGUUCUGUUGAAGAAAACAACACUGCAAAACCCCCAAAAUCCUGCUGCAAAUCCAACUCCCAUACCCAUAUAAAACUCUGAUGUUCCAAAGAAAUUACCAUCACCGUGUCAAACAGAAGCAGUCUCUGUCAACUCUUCCUUGUCUGUGCAAUUUUUUGUUACAGGAGGACCACAAAGCUCAGGAUUUCCAGUGUAGCUAAGUUCUUCAAAGCUCUGAAGUUGGGUGCUCGUGGGAAUUCUGCCUGAUAAGUUGUUGUAUGAUAGAUUCAGGACACUGAGGAAGGACAAAUCAGAUAAACUUUGAGGGAUUUGACCUGAAAUGUUGUUUAGUGAGAGAUCAAGGGAUUCUAACAAUUUCAUUUUUCCCAUGUCAUUUGGUAUCCCUCCAGACAGAUGAUUUCUAGACAAGUUCAAAAACCGCAAAGCAGAUAGCUUGGAAAUUUCAGAUGGAAUUGCUCCAGACAGCUUAUUACUUGAAAGAUCAAUCAUUCUCACCAAUAUCAAAUUGUCUCUGUACUCUAACUCAUCUCCUUUGGGAACUAAGACAAGAGUUUCCUUGUAGUGGUUAUAACUGAAGUCAGAGCCAUAUGAAUAACUUGAAGGGUUUGCAAAGAAGUCAUCUUCACCAGCCAUUGUUUUCAUGUCAUCCAAACAAUUUGGAAUGGAUCCUGACAGGCUGUUAUUGCCAAGAUCCAGCACUAUAAGGGAAGAAAGUUGACAAAUCUUUUCAGUGAAUGCUGCCAUUGAAAUUGUUGGAUCUUAGACGAAGAACCAUUAGAUAUUGCAUUUCCCACAUCCAAUCUGGUAUUGUGUCAGAAAGUUGGUUAUUGCCCAUGUCAAUGAAUUUCAUUGUAGAGCAAUUUUGCAGUGUUGAAGGAAUAUAUCCAGAGAAGCGGUUGUCGUCUAACAACAAAGACUCAAGUUGAGAUAGAUACCCCAUGGAGUUUGGAAUAACACCAGACAAAUUGUUACUACCCAAGUUCAAAUGCACCAAAGCUUGCCAAUGCACCCAACAGUGACCAAGAUCACCAGAUAAGACAUUAUUUGAAAAAUCAAGCACACUUAAAUUAUUAGUAGCAUUUUCCUUUCCACAUAAAAAGGGAGAAAUUGUUCCGGAAAUUGAGUUAUUGGCAACAUUCAGCACUUCAACAUUUGCAGACACACUUGGCAAUGUACCCUUGAACAAAUUAGAACUCAAAUUUAUGAGGCUGGAAUUGAGAAAGAUGUUAGAUAGGUCUCCACUUAACAGAUUGUUGGACAGAUCCAGGAAUUCAGUUUGCAAAGUCCAAUUCCAAAACCAACUUGGAACCAAGUCUGCAAUACCUGCCUUAGACAUUGUCAAAACCUUCACAGAACUUUGCCUUUUUAGUCAUUCUGGAAACUUAGGACCUAUUCCAAAGGAGCUCAGUAAAACAUAUUCAAGCUGAAAAGGAGGAACCCAUCCAGAGUUGACACUGAGGAACAAGUUUGUCCAAGACAAACGUAGUUCCUUUAAUUUCAAAAGUUUUACAAAAUUUGACUCUUUUAUAGAUCCUUCUAACAAAUUAGAUGAAAGGUCUAACAUCACUAAAUUUGAGAGAGUUCCAAGAGUUACAGGCAUAUCACCAGUCAAAGAAUUAGUUCCAAGAUUUAAUACCUGCAGGUUUCUGAGGAACUCAAAACUCUUAGGAAUGGUUCCAUUCAGUCGGUUGUGAGCCAGGUUUAAAGUUCUCAAGGAUGACAAGUUUGCAAAUGGUGAGGGAAUUGGACAAGUAAAGGUAUUAUUACUGAGAUUUAGAACUUCAAGAUGCUUAAGCUGGCCUAAUGAAUCUGGAAGUGGCCCACUGAGCUGGUUGUUCUGCAGGUCUAGAUUUUUUAUGUUCUGAAGGCUUGAUAUUAUUUGUGGAAUUUGUCCCUGUAAAAGGUUACUGUGUAAAUCAAGUUGGACAAGAGUUGUGCUGAGGUUAAAUAGCCAUGAAGGGAUUUGCUGAUUGAGAUUGUUAAUUGAAAGAUCAAGGACUUGGAGAUGUGUGAAGUUGGCUUUUCGUUUUGGUGGUCCUAAGUUAUCAAUUUGACAGCUCUCCAAGUGUAGUUCUGAAAGAGAUGGAAGUGCACUCAGUACUUGAAGCCAGUUACCUUGUUUAUGAAGGUCUGAACCACUCAAAUCAAGGUACUCCAAGGAAGAUAGCCUUGAUAUCCAAUUAAGGUUAUCUAUCUGAAGAGCAUAAUUGUAUCCAAGAUUAAGGUGCUGCAGGUUUGAGAGGUUUCCUAGUUGAUGAGGGAUUAAUCCCAUGAACCCACUUAAGCUAAGGUCCAAGUAUCUCAGACUCUCCAAUGAGCCUAGGAAGCUUGGUAUUGGAGUAAGAACAAAAUAAUUUGAACUCAAGUCCAAACGAUUCAAAUAUUUUAGUUCAAGCAAAGAAGGACUAAUCUCUCCACUCAACUCCCUAUAGGGAGAGCCCGCAGGUGUGUCAAGAUUGAUUUCCAUGACUUUACCUGUGUUGUUGCAGUGAACCCCUGGCCAUGUACAGCAAUCCGAUUUGUCAGACCACGAUGAAAGCCUGUUUGAAGGGUCUGCUAGUCCAUGCUUGAAGCUGAGGAGUGCAUUCCUUUCCUUCUCGCUGCAAGUCAUAUUGAGCCUUGCUGCCUUGCUUGCACUGAAGUGGAGAGUUGUUGCAGUGGACAAUAUCAAGAGAAGAACAUGAGUUGCAUAUAGCACUGCCAUGAAGAAGAAGGAAAACGAAAAAGGUUGAAUCCACAAUUUUCUGGUUCACGGUUGGUAUUUACUACUAACAAUGCCUAUAUAGGAUAUAUACCAUAGAAGGGUUUGCAUUUAAAAUUUUAUUCCACUAAUGGUGGUGGUUGCAAAAUGCACACAUAUGUAGAGGUAUAUAUGUCUACAAGGAGACAUUUAGGAUUAAAAGUGUCUAACCACACCACCAUUAUUUUGCUCUAGUUUAUUUUAUUUUGAUUUAAUUACCCUUUUAGUCCUUAUAAUUGUGAUAAUUUUUUUUAGUCUCUAUAGUUUAAGACAUUCAUUUUGGUUCUUAUAUUUACAAUUUUUUUUAUCUUUUGGUCCUCGAGGGGAAGAUUCAACUCACACAUAAACAUGAACAAAAUUAAUAAAAAUAGGGAAGCAAGCUCAGGUACAAAUGAAGUGUAAUGGAGGUAUGAGACAAAGCCACUACACAUUCCAUUAUUCUUGAGUCUGCCACCGACCUCUGCAAGCUUAGCAUUUGCCAAUUGCCAUGAUGUAAUCUCGUUCUUGACAGUCUCUCAUCAAGUUGGAGUGGUAUCACAGCAUUGAACUAAGUUGAUCGUUCCAUGGGAUGAUGGUUUUGAUUGCUGCAGAUAAAGUGUGUGAUUGUGAGUUUCUGGUCCCAUGAGUUAAACUAUAAGGAUUAAAAAAAAUAUUGUCAUAACUUUAAGGGCGAAAAAGAUAAUUAAACCUUUUAUUUUUUUUAACAACGGGUUAUAUAUAUGUAGCAGUUUAUUCUAAACAAUGGACUACGUGUGAAAUCUUUGAAUUCUAUGUAAGAAAUGUUAUUUCAAACUUCUCAUCAGUCUUCAUGUCAAUGAUGACAUGCUCCAUUUGAAUUCUAUGUCUAAUUAAGCUCUCGGUCUUCGUUUUUGCAACUUUAUUUCGUAGAAAGAAGCCAAAUUUGAAGAUACAACAUUUGAUACUAUAACUGUUUGGUGUUUUGAAAAUCUCACUCACAUAUUUCCAAAUGUUACAAAAGAAUUUGAUUCAGUGGUUAUUACGAAUUCCUUCCUAGCCUUUUUUACCAAGUCAGGGAAUUUGCAUUGUUGUGCAUGAUGGCUGCCACAAGGACCCUUGUACCAACCCAUUAGUGCAAGUGGUUUUUUCUUAUGAGAAUUGAGAAACAAAUUAUAUGUGUUUUAUUAAGGGAAUUCUAUUAUUUUUAAUUUUGAACUUGUAAUGUUUUUUGUUUCCCUCACAGAACAAGUGAUGAAACUCUUGAUGAUCGACGCCAUACGUACGCCUACUUUGAUGCUCUUUUUUCACACCACUUUUAUCUUAAUGGUAUCUCAAGUUGACAAUCAUAAAUUAAAAUAGCUAACUAUAGUUGAUUAGUAGAGACAAACAGCUCAAAGAUAAAGAUCUUUAAGCCAUCAUUUUUUUUUCCUUUUCUUUUCUAUGAGCUGUCAUUUCUUAUCUCUACAUGGAAUGUCUAGAAGUUGAAAAUUACUUGAGCUUUCUUUACCUACUGCUUUCCAUUUUGGCGAACUGCUUUUCUUUCUCAUAAUGAACUUUCCACUUCCAAUGAUGGUUGAACAUUAAUAAUUCUUCAUCUAUUUUGUCUAAAAAUUUCCACUCACUUUUUUUAGUGGUGUUAAUGUCAUGCAGACAAAUGAUGUCCAAGCUCCACUUUUUCCAUUCAUUGCAAGUUGCAAGCAGAAUGUAGAAUGUACGUAUAAUAAAAUAAUGAGAAUGGCAACUGCUAUAAGUACUACUUAAUUAGAACAAAAGUAUCAAAAUUAAAACGAAAAUAACUUUGAUGCUGUUAAUAUAUGAGUUUAAUUUUGAUAGAUAGUGUAAAAAUUUAAAUUGUUUAUUAAUUAGAAAUCACCAAAUGAUUUGUAAAACAAUUAGUAAAAAAGUUAUAAGAAAUAUAUAUAUAAUUAAUUAAUUGCAAAUGAAAGUGUAUUUAAAUUAAAUUCUUAAUUAACAUAUCCUUAUUGUGAUAUUUUGUAUAUUUUUUAUUUAAUUGAGACAGUGGAAUGAGACCGCACUAUAAUUUUCAUCACGGGUUGUAUUGUCUAAUAUAAUAGGGAUGGUUGGUGAGGAAUUUUGGAAUGUUAGUUGGUUUUAGACUAUAUAUCCUCUUGUUCAGUUUUCACAUUCUCAUUAGAGUUAAGUUGCUUUUGGGGAAGAACCAAUGUCUUGAAAUUCCCUCUUCACCAGAAGCAGUUUUAUUGUGUCUUUAUCGAAGUCAUCUUCUCCAGAGACUUGCCUUUAACUUUGAAGAUAGGAAAUAGAUCAGUCAAACAUUGUUUCAGUUUAUUUGGAUUUUAUUUUAAGGACAUGUGAUUUACAAAGACUUCUUACAACUCACAACCUUUGGAAUUUCUCUAUGCCUGGUUAACCCACAAUUUCUGGCGCCUGUUGCGGUUAGGAACAUAGGCUAGCAAAAACACUAAUCAUUUCAAGAGAAAUGUUAACACACUUUUCUAAUAUAUUAUUUUUUAUAUUAAAAUUUAUUAAAAUAAAAAAUUCAGCUGAUCUCAUAUUUUAUUUAGCAAAUUUUUCCCAUAUAUUAAGUCUUAGGUUUUUAAAAUUAUAAAGCUAAAACUAAAAUGUUUUACUAAAUGUAUUUUAAAGUAAAUUUUACACACAAAAAUAUUAUGAUUUUAUAAAAAUUGUUUGGUCAAGGGAGACAUAUUGAGCCAUAGAAAUACUAAGUUAUGGGCAAGAUUUUGAUAUACUAUAACCUUAAUUUUUACAAUAAACCUAAAUGUCUAAAUAUCAUAACUCAACCAUGCGACGAAAUGACAAUGUGUUAAUUUUGUUGUGUCCUCAACCAUGCGUAUGCCUCAGGCCGAGGGAAUUCUCACACACCACUCCUAACAAUUUCUAAGGAAUUCCACAACGUGUCUAUGCUUCAGACAACAAUAACGUACCAAAUAAACAAGUAGCAUCUAAUAAUGUUAAAAUAAGCACACAUAUAUCGAGCCAACCAACGUUGGAGGUAGAAGAACAACAAUAAUAUCAAUAUUUAAUUUCAUUUAGUGUUAAUUUAUUCGGAACUCAACGUAAAAUAACAAUUUAAUAGAAAACAAACAGAGUAUUUAUUAAGAAUAAAAAUAUAUUUAAUUUCAUUUAGUGUUUAAUAGUGUUUUGGUCUAUGUUUUUUUUUUUGUUUUUUUAUAGUUAUUUCUUUUCAAAUUUGAUGACAACAUUGUCAUUGGGUCCUUCUACCCUUCACAUCAGCAAAUUGGACACUAAAGAGACUCGGUCAGAAACAAAUAACUACUAGGGGUACAAUAACAUGAGAGGAUUUAACACUUUUGGAGUAGGAAAAUGUACUUUAAGAAAAGAAAAUUAUAUGUUUAUCCAUGAACACUAAGCUCUAGAGAAAAAAAAAACCACGAGAAAUAGUAUAUAACUCUUUAGUGGACAAUUGGUGUUGUACAAAAUUGAAAUGAUCCAGACUAAGUCAACAAACUGGUCUUCUUCAUUGAACUCACAGUGAAACCACAGAAUUUAUUUUCAUCUGCUAGUUUCCUUCCCAAUUCCCAUGUUUUCUAAAACAUAACACACUACAGAACCUUCUAAUAAAUUAAAACAAAAAAAUCAAUAUUUUACAUGUAGCACCACAACCUAACAAUUUCUACCUACAACUUUUUCUAUAGACUAUAAUAUAAUCUAUCUCCACUCAAUCAUUCAUCAAGAUUGAAAAAUGGAUUCAAAUGCUUGUCUACCACACUUGCUAGUGUUAGCAAUAACAUUGGUAUUGGUUAGUCAUGCAAUGGGAGAUUCAGCUAAAGACAAGUGUUGUCUCUUUGCCUUUUAAGUUGUACAUAGUUGCAAAACAGGUAUAUGUGAAAGAAUAAUGCUUAUUAAAGGUAAGGUUGAUUUUAAAGUGGGCAUGCAAGAAUGCAUUCAUUAUCUCAAGUAAAUAAAUUCAAGCGAAUAUCUGAUUUGGAUUAGAGAAUAGUAUUAUCCAGUGCACACUAAAUUGGAGAGAUUCCCAACAUGUGGUUUCAAAACUAAAAGUACUUACCAACUAUUUGAAUUUUAAUCUACGUGAUCUAGCUAAUGUUUUCUAUCAGAGAAUUACAACUAGUUGAUCUUAAGAACAAAACUAUACUAAAUAUGCAAAUCUUUACAUCUAAAAACAGAAUUUAAAUAAGGCUCUCAAAUUUGAAGAAAAAAAAGAAGAUAGCAAUGACUACAAAUUGAUCAAUCUGCCAAUACAAUGAUAAAACAUCGGUUUAUUCUAAGCAACACUAAAAAGGGAUACUACAUUAGCAAAAAGAUUGAAAUUAUUGACCAUGCAGUAUGAAUGUACAGCAUUAUUUAUUUAAUUUUUCUAAUACGAUUUUAUUUUAUAUUAAUACAAAAACUCUCACAAAACAACUUCUUAACUACUAGUUAAUUACUACUUUUAUACAUAAAAAAACUAGUUAAUUACUACUGCUACAUAGCAGAAAUUCCUUAAUUCUUCGAGAAUUAUAUUCCUUAAUUUCACGUGGUUUGCCUCAGUUGUUUGCCGCAGGUUUCAGUAUAUCCUUAGGAAUCGUCGAUUGUCAAAUCGUUGUUAAAUAACGGCGCUAUAUAUAAUUUUAGUAUUUUGACGUUUUUAAAUGAAUUUCUUAUUUAUGAUUAUAUAUUUACAAUUUUUAAUUUCACUUAAAAAAAAGAGUUUUUUUGGAUUUACAGAGAAAAAAAAUAGAGUUUUUAGUUAACACACUGUUACUAUAUAGUGCGGAGACAAUUACCCCACAAGCUUUUCAUUAACUUGUCAUAAUAUAAUAUAUGUGAAUACAAACUGUCCCUAUAAUUUAAAAUAAAAUAAAUGAAAAGUCAAUAACUUUAUAAGUAUUGUCUCCACACAUAUAUAUUAUCCUAUAACUUACAAUUUUAAUAUUUAUUAUUGAUAUUCUUAAUUAACUAAGUAAAAAUAUUUUUUUUAUAAUUUUUAAGAUAAUUAUUAUAAAUAUUAAUAAAUUUAUUAUAAAUAACAUUUUUAUAUGUGUAAGUGCAUGUAUAUUAUUUAUUGAAAUAUUUUAUUUGAAUUUUUCAUUAAAAAUACUAAAUUUAUUAACAUGAUAUGUGCCUCGUUAGAGCAGUGGUUUAAUUAAAUUGGAUAGUGAGAACUGAAUUGACGACAGAUUCUCUUUCCAUAUGUGAUGAAAGAGUUGUACGAAAUCUUUAUGACAUCAACCCCCAACAUGAGUGGCCCAGUGGACAAGCCCAUCAAUCUAACAUGUCGGUUGAUAGCACUUGCAUAAACUUUUGUUCCUUGCAUCAUCUCAUGUGUCUCCAUUCUCCAUUCUCUGCUUCCACUCACGAUUAAACCUUAUUGAUUAGGGUUCAAUGAUUUUUCAAUGAAUAAAAUUAAUUUUGAAUUCUUGAUUCUAACAGCUCACGUAUAGUCUGUUGAAUCAAAUGGAUUAGACUCUUGAUAUCAUAAAGAAAAUUAAAAUUUGAUUCUUUGUGUAAAAUAAAGAAAUCUAAUUAAUUAUGCUUGUUAUGUUACUAUAUCAUUUUUCCGGUGUGGAAUAACAUCAAAAUCAAAGUAAUAAAGUUACUUGCAUGUUACUCUAACCAUAAUUCCAGUUAAGUCGAAUAUGGUUUCAUGUUUUGUAAAACAAUUUAGAUCCCCUUUAUCAAAGUGUGUCUGUCUUCUACACAAGUUUUUUCACUUUAUUCUAUUUCCCCAGAAUCAAUUGUUGUGUUAUUCAUGCUAUUAAAUUAGUUCGAUAACUACCAUGUCGAUCAUUGUUAGUUUUGUUUCCACCAUUGUUGGGAAUACGUAUAUACUAUUACUUUAUGAUUAAACGUGUUACUUAAAUUGCAGAAAAAAACUCUUUAUAAUGAAGUACAAUUGUUUAUAACUACAACAAUUAUAUUGAGUCAAUUUAACACUCAUCAAAGGCAGAAAAGCUUUACUUUAAGAUUAGACAGAGGCUCAUACCAAUCAUGGCGGUGGUUAUAAUUAGACACAUCAGCAACUGUAAAAGAUCUUGCACGGCCACAGAAAAAAAAAAUGCUUGAUGCACAUCUGAUAAACUCACUCAAGGUCUAUGUAUUAAUAGUGUAAAAGAGAGACUGAAUAUUAAAUGAUAAAAAUAUAAAAUAAUUGUUUUGUAUUGGCAGAGUACACAUAUAUAUGCCCAAAUGUAGAUUCAAAGUUCAAACAUUUUGGGACUAGAUCAUCCCUCCUAGUCAUAGCCAUCUGAAUUGGAUCGACCCCACCCCAAGGUUUGUGUUGCAUCACUUGCAUGCAUUCACCCACCACUGUUGUUGUUAUAGUUUUCUCGUGAUUUUUGUAUUGGAAAAUACUAUGGACAAAUAUAAUUGAUACAGUCAUAAUUAAUUAUUGUCAUGUUGCAAUUACAAAGACUCCUCAAAGAAAAUGUUUAGUAAAUCAUGAUCAAGUAGAAAUUGCAAUGGCAAACUGUUUUUUAAAAUCUUAUUAGUCAGUUGUAUAAACCCAAAUUUAGUUAUAUCCAGGUAUGUAAUAUUUGCCAUUUUAGUGCUCUGUUUGGAAAUUUGCGUGUCGAAUUGUUUUUUUUAUACGUACCUACACAACACUCUUUAGCCAAAUACCACUGUUCAUGGAAAAAUCUGUCCUGAAAGGAGUAUAGAACCAGAAACAAUAUGCGUGGUGGUAUCUAUCAUUCUGAAAAAGAAAAAAAGUGGGAUUCUUACAAUAGUAGGACUGUGACACUACUAGAAAAAUCUAUGCACCUUUGAUGUCCCUAAAUUUAUGAACAAAAGAUUCAGGUGUCGUUUAUUGAAUUUGUUUUAUAUGGAGUGUAAAGUCAUAUUCAAUACUAAUAAGUGUAUGUUUAUAUAAUUCUUUUUAAAAUAAUUACUCUUCUUUAUUUACAUCUAAUAAAAAUGUUAUCACAUUAAAAUUUUUAAAAUAAGCUAAAUGAAGCAUGUUUCAUAAGAAAUUAACUUUUACUGUAAUUGAUACAUUUUUUAGUGACAAAGGGAGAUGGGUGAAGACGGUGAAGGAAAAAAAAAUGAAGAUAAUGUCUAUGUUGUUCAAAUAACAGUAUUAAUUGUAUUAAAAUAGUUAAUAUUAAAAAAUAUAUUAGUAAAUAUAACAUUGUUGUGUUGGUGCUAUUUAUUGUGCAUCAAAAUAUGUAAAAAUAAUAAUUAACUUAUAAUUUGUAUAGUUGGUAUGGGUUGUUUUAUCUAUCCUGGAUUUUGUUGAAUCACACAUAUAAUCAUUUAUAUAUAUAUAUGGGCUACUAUUGUCACUACCAAAAAUGCUAUGGAGACUACCAAAGCAUUUGAAAUUACUUGGUUAUCCUUAGUUCCAAUUCCCCACACCUCCUAUCCUUCCCCUCCUUACGUUCAGCUACUCUCCUUCUUUACAUACAAAAACAGAAUUUAAAUAAGGCUCUCAAAUUUGAAAAAAAAAAGAAGAUAGCAAUGACUACAAAUUGAUCAAGCUGCCAAUACAAUGAUAAAACUUCGGAGUAUUCUAAGCAACACUAAACAGUGAUACUACCUAAGCGAAAAGAUUGAAGUUUGAACCACACAUGAUCAAGGAAAUGAAAAUAGGCAUACCGCCAUGAUCUACAAAUCAGCAAAGGAGCAAUCACUAUCCAGAAUCCCACAAUAAAUCCAAUUGUCAUACUGACAAAAAACCAAUUCACUCCAUGCCCAUCACUUCCUUCAUAACUAUGGGUUUUCCCAUUGGAGCUGCAGUUUAUGGGCAGUGGUGGACCACAUAGAUUGUUGCCGAUGAAGCUGGAGGCAUCAAAGGUUUGCAAUUGAGUUCCUGUUGGAAUAUUUCCCUUCAAAUGAUUGUAUGACAAGUCUAGCAUGCUCAGAAAGCUCAAAUUUGCAAUGCUUGGAGGGAUUUCACCAAAAAGUUGAUUCCUCGAAAAAUCAAUGGACUGUAAUGAUCUCAUAUUACCUAUACCUUGUGGAAUAUGACCAAUCAAUUGGUUGUGGGACAUGUUUAAAAAAUUCAAUCCAUUUAGAUAUGUGAUUUCUCUUGGUAUUUCCCCAAAUAACUUGUUACUUGACAGAUCAAUGCUUGUUACCAAACCCAGAAUGUUUCUGUACUCAUCUCCUCUUCCUUUCAGCCAUAGUAGCACACUAACUAUACUUUCCAUCGACGUACCAUGUUUUCCUUGAGAAUAGAUACGAGGAUCUGUACUUUGGUUCUUUAGUGUCAUGGCACUCAAGUUACUGAAACAGCUCGGUAUAUUGCCAGACAGAUUGUUUUGUGCAAGGUCUAAAACCUGAAGAUGACUCAUCUGACAUAUUUCACUUGGAAUGUGUCCGGCAAAUCUGUUUGAUCGAAGGCGGAGGAUUUUCACAUUUAGAUAGGUUUGUAUAACUCAAAUAAAGAUAGACCAAAUUGGAGAGAUUCCCAAUCUGAGAUGGAAUCUUCCCCAUGAAUCCAGUAUAAGAGAGGUCGAGGUGAGU
Molecule: long non-coding RNA, 57568 nt
Filed under: Glycine max (soybean)
Lineage: Eukaryota; Viridiplantae; Streptophyta; Magnoliopsida; Fabales; Fabaceae
Description: long non-coding RNA (GMAX_LNC003765)
Source: RNAcentral